CUCACCACCUCCUCCUUACCAUUACAGUUCCCCACCACCACCUCCAAAGAAGCCAUACAAAUACGCUUCUCCUCCACCUCCAGUUUACAAGUACAAAUCACCUCCUCCACCAGUGUAUAAGUAUAAGUCUCCUCCUCCACCACCGAAGAAGCCAUAUAAAUAUCCAUCUCCACCACCACCAGUUUACAAGUACAAGUCACCUCCUCCACCAGUUUACAAGUAUAAAUCUCCUCCACCACCAGUUUACAAGUACAAAUCACCUCCUCCACCGGUGUACAAGUAUAAAUCCCCUCCUCCACCAGUGUACAAGUACAAGUCUCCUCCACCACCACCUAAGAAGCCAUAUAAAUACCCAUCUCCACCACCGCCAGUUUACAAGUACAAAUCACCUCCACCACCGGUGUACAAGUACAAAUCUCCUCCACCACCAGUUUACAAGUAUAAAUCCCCUCCUCCACCAGUGUACAAGUACAAGUCUCCUCCACCACCACCAAAAAAGCCAUAUAAAUACCCAUCUCCCCCACCACCAGUUUACAAGUACAAAUCACCUCCUCCUCCAGUUUACAAGUAUAAAUCUCCUCCACCACCAGUUUACAAGUAUAAGUCACCUCCUCCCCCAGUUUACAAGUACAAAUCUCCACCACCACCACCCAAGAAACCAUACAAGUAUCCAUCACCACCACCACCAGUUUACAAGUAUAAGUCUCCCCCUCCACCUGUCUACUCACCACCACCAGUUUACAAGUAUAAGUCUCCUCCUCCACCUGUCUAUUCACCACCUCCACCAUAUAAGUACAAAUCUCCACCACCUCCUCCUUAUAAGUACCCAUCACCACCACCACCAGUUUACAAGUACAAGUCACCUCCUCCCCCAGUUUACAAGUACAAAUCUCCACCACCACCACCCAAGAAACCAUACAAGUAUCCAUCACCACCACCACCAGUUUACAAAUAUAAGUCCCCUCCUCCACCUGUAUACUCACCACCUCCACCAGUUUACAAGUAUAAGUCUCCUCCUCCACCCGUCAAUUCACCACCUCCACCAUAUAAGUACAAAUCUCCACCACCUCCUCCUUAUAAGUACCCAUCACCACCACCGCCAGUUUACAAGUACAAAUCACCUCCUCCUCCAGUUUACAAGUACAAAUCUCCACCACCACCACCCAAGAAACCAUACAAGUACCCAUCACCACCACCACCCGUUUACAAAUAUAAGUCCCCUCCUCCACCAGUUUACAAGUAUAAAUCUCCUCCUCCACCUGUUCACUCACCACCUCCACCACACUAUGUCUACUCUUCACCUCCUCCUCCGGUCUAUUCCCCUCCUCCACCACAUUACAUAUAUUCAUCACCUCCUCCUCCUUACCACUCUUAGAUAACGGUUUACCAUAGUAUCCCAUGGUAUGCUUCUUUUUUAGUACGACCAAUAUCUUUAUGAUUAAAAUGCUUCGAGAAAUACUAAUUUAUAUAUCAACAAAAUAUAUGUAUUUUAUCAACGAAACAAUUAAAUAAGAGAAUCAAAAUUAGUGAUUUGAAUAGUUUUACAUGCCAACACAUGCAAGUCGUUAUAUAGACCUCACAUUCAUUUUAUUCUUAUUAUUCUUAUAGUCUAAAUAGUACAAUUUUCUUGAAACGUCUAAAUUGACAUACAUCUUAUGGUACAGUUUACAAAAAUCAAUCUAAGCCUAUUUUAUUUCUAUUUAUAGUAUUAUAUGUAAAUAGAAAAAAUAUACAAACUAAAAGGAAAGUUGACAGUUAUGUUUCUUAUUAAUGCUUCUCACUCGUAUUGUUCUUUGAGUGCUUAAUUAAUGUGUUUAUGUGUUUGUAUAUACUUUUGUAGGGAUUAAGGAAUAUUGGAAAUAAAGAGAACAUAGUGCAAAGCAGGAAGAUGCAUUUAGCAAUAAGGGAGAAAAACAACGGAAGCAAAGUUUCCAUGCAUUUUGGUCUCAGAAAAAGUCACUUUGUUUUUCUUAUUUGUUUGUAUAUGAAUUAUUAUUCUCAUUAUUGAGUUUGGUUAUUGAAUUUAGACAGGUGUAAUACACUGUGUGUAAUAUCGUGAAUGCAUUUUGUUUUGGAACCUACUCUUUGCAAGGGGUUGGUUGGGAAAAUAAAAUUGAAUAUUUGUUCUACUAAUUCUUUGCAUAUUUAUUGUGAAAUUACAAUAUAAUCAAUGCUCAACUAAUUAUUUUUUUCAACAGAAAACUAAUGCAUUUCAUUAAAAAUUAAAGGACCAAUAUAAAGGAGAAUGUCAAAUUAUAAAGCUAAGAAUUUCUGAAAAAAAAAAUAAAGUUGAGAACUGACGCUGUAUAUGUUUAGCUUAGCAAAGGUGCAUUGUGCAUCCAUAUUAGUCUCUCUCCUACAAAACUCGACAUAAGAAUUAUUACAUAAUAACGAUAAAGUACUACAAUAUCUACUUAAAAUAGAAUCUACAUAUCAAUAGCUGUUAAUAAGUUUAAAGUCUCACCCUCACUCAAUAACUUAUUUAAGCAUUGAAUGUUCAAUCCAAUUGCUAUUAAUUUCGACAAGCCGGUCCUAAUUUACUCUCUCUCGGUUUUCUCUUCCAGUUUCUUCAUUGAGGAGUUAUUUUGGGUCAAUUAUUGACCUGAAAUCACUCCUCUUCAUCUUUUUAUGCCUAUUUCAAUCUAAAUAAGUGAUUUUCACAUAGAUUUAGGUUUUUUCUUUGUGGUUUUAUCAUCUAAGUGUGGUGGUUUGUUGUUCGUCGUCUUGUGCGGCGUUGUUCGAUUUCACGUUUCUUGCGGUGUUCAUUUAAUUCAUAUUGAAAGAUUGAUUAUUCAAUCGAAGAUUUGGGCGUCAACGUUGCAGAUCCGGAUGCUAUGGAUAUUCCGGUCACUUUAAUUUUAUCAUAUAUUUUUUGUUGUGAAAACCACACCAAUAAUAAACUUGAUGCGUGGAGCAAAUUAAUACCAAGUAAUCAAAUCAAGCGGGUAGCAAAUAAUUCAAACAAAAGUAAACGACAAGAGAUAAAAGGAAAGAAGGAGAACACAAGAAUUUGUUUACCCAGUUCGGUCUAAUGAUGACCUAGUCUAGGGGAGAUAGCAGCUCUCUGCUUCACUAUAAUGAUAUGAGUUUCUUUACAAAGAGAUAUUGAAUUACAAGAAUCAGUCUUCAAACCUAAUUCUACCCAAGUCCCAGCCUCUUCCCGUGACCAAGAGACUCAAUCCUAAUGGUGCUUUGUUCAACGUGAAUCAAAACAAUCCCAACCCUAGUGUUUGUUGCCAAGAGAAAUUCUCUAUAAACCCUAUUUUCUACACAGUGUUUUGUUUCUACACACUCUCAGUCUCUCAAAUAUUCAUAUGAUACAAAGCUUAUAUUUAUAGUGGAAAGCAUUCCUCAAAAAUUGGAAACAGGCCCACAAGCUGUUUUAUUUUUCUCAUCUUGCGAGAAAUCGGCCAUCAAGUUUGGAAAAUCGGCCACCGAUUUUUCACGAGACAAAAGUCUCCAAAACCAGGUCAAAAUCGACCACCGUGUGGUGUAACACCCCAUUCCCAAAUAUAAUUUAUUUAAAUGAAAUAAACACACAUCAGAGUAAUAAAUCCAAAUGGGCAUGUCACACUACAUUUUCAAAUUUCUGAAAUAGAAUAUAAAAAAUCUAUUUAUUAAACAUCCAAUGAAAUCAUCAUUUAAUAUGCAGCGGAAUAUUAUCAACGAAACGUCAACAACUGUUUAAACCUCCAAAAUAAUAUCUCAGCAUAAAAAGCCUCAACCAGAAUAAUUCAUCAACCAUAGGGCUACAACAACAUUAACCAAAAUUUGAUACAUAGAAUGAAAGAAAACAAUAAAAUCCCAUCCCACGUAUCAGAGCCCUAGACACUUUGAGCCACCACCUACUACUCAGGAUCACCUGCAAGUUACCCAUAGGAAGGGCAACAUUUCCAAGCAGAAGGGGUGAGAUUCUCAAUCAAUAAAAAUAAAAUAUAAUAACAUCAAUUGAAAAUCUAGCACCUUACAACAUCAAUGAUUAUUCAAUAAGCAUAGGUAUUUCAUAAUCGACAACAAUCAUUCAAAUAUAGAAUUCAAUCAACAAUGCAACUCAUGAUAUGACAUGACACCCCCCUUUAAUACUCCUCAAUAAAUGCAACUAUGCAUGUGGUACCAUAAUUCAGGGCCAUGACCCACACCACUGUCGAAUGGUUAAAGCAUUCUCAGCAGGACCUAAGUCCUCACCGCUCCACACCGCUUUGAACAACUAGUGUUCCACCGCUUUGAACGACAAGGCGUUCCAGAGCCGAAGCUCUCCCACUUUGAUGUUUAUGCAACUACCCCACCUGUGUAUAUCUACAUACAACUCGACCACUACAUAUGUAUCAUAUGACUUACUACUCCACAACUCAAACAAUCCAGACUUACACAAUUAUUUAUAAUUAUGCACAUACAUCAAUCAUCUCCGACAUUCACUAACACCAAUCAAUCCAAUCACUGGCUAGUUUAAAUAGGAUUUGGUCACCUACACCAGGGUUAUAUUAGUUAAAGAGGAAGUUAAAGAACGCUCAAGAAGUCCCCUCAUGCACUAAGCAACAGUUCAGAAAAGGCUGAUUAAGGUUCACUUCGCUUAAGCGACGGCUAGUUCGCUUAAGCGACCAGCUUACAGUAGGUUCUGGGUUCAGUUCGCUUACGGGUCGCUCACGGUUCGCUUGAGCGAACUUUGGACAGAAUGAAAAUGGUUUUUCGCUCACAGGGUCGCUUACCAUUCGCUUAAGCGAAAUCUUGGCAGAACCAAACUUAAUUUUCGCUUACCAGUUCGCUCACGGUUCGCUUAAGCGAACGGGUAAAAUCGCAUUCUGGGCAGCUUGCUUGAAUGCUCGCUUAAGCGACGGAUGCUUCGCUUAAGCGACCACUCAUCUGGGCAGUGCAAAACCUACGGUUUCAGACCUCUUCUCACUCCAAAAACCCCAUUUUAAUCCCCUGAUCACCCAAAAUGUUUUCCAACAGAUGUUUACAGGUCCUAUAUACAACUAGGCAUUACAAAGAAACACAAUUCAGCCAUCAACAACAACAAUUAUAGAAUCAUUCCACCAUCACACAAUAUUUCAUCAAUUCAUACAAUUCAUCCAAAAUUCAAUCAAUUCAUGGAUUACAGCAACAACAUGGAUUAAGAUUUCGUUCUUAACAUUAAAUUCCAAGAAACUAACAUCAUCUUUACUCAUUCCAUCAGAAUCAUCAUCAAACCCUAACUUUCAUCUUAUUUUCCAAAACUAUUCAAUUAGGUCAAUUUCAGAAAUUAUAGAUUAUGAUUAUUGAGAGAUAGUCUCACCCUUACCUUAGUUUUGCAGAAAAUUAGACAGCAAGGAUCGAUUUCUAGGCUCUCCUCUCUAGCUCUUGCUCUUCUUCUCCCUUUUCCCAAAACUUGUCUGUUGUACGUGAAACUGUUUUCUGACUAUUCCUUUUCCUAACUCCCCAAAACUAUAACUCCCCCUAUUACAUUAAACUCCAUUAAUUUUUAUUAAAUUCUAAUUAACUCCCUAAUUUCUAAAAUAAUAUUAAUUUCCAGUUAUUUUAAUUAUUAUUAUAUUAAACUAUAUAAUAAAAUGCACACACCACAUAAAUCACCAAAAAUCAUAUAAAAUCACAUUUGAGACUCCACAUAAUUCAAAAUAAAAUAAAAUAAUACUAGGGCGUUACAUGUGGUACAAAUUGGACACCGAAUUUGACAGACAGGAUGCACAUUUUUGAGUCACUUUUCAACAUUUUUGUAGGCAUUAUGUCGUUAUAUGCUAUUAAUUAACUUUGAUGUUGUGAGUUUAUUAGCAGAUUCAUCCUUUAAGUUUUUAGCGGUGUUGAAUGAUGUAAUCUCGAUUUGAAUGAAUGAAUAUCAUUUUAUUUUUGUAAAAAAAAAAAAAAAAAAAACUAUAUACAUCAUUACUGUAAUUUUUUUUACAACAUGUAUCAAUCAUUUUGUUACAUUUUGUAUUAGUUACUAAAGUAUAUCUACAAAUAGUCUAUGUCGUUAAUUGUGAUCGAAUGCACACAGAUUUUUACAUUAAAAUUUUGCAAACCAUCAAAGUUAAAAAAACAUGCAUAGAACAAACCUUGGGAUAUGUAUUCGAGAUGACGAAAACACUUUUUGUGUUGGAUAAAACUUUGUCCAUCACUGCAAUGUAUAAGCAUACGGGAGAAGUUUUGGGUUUUUUCCAAUCGUUACACUAAUUAAGUGAUAUGUAAUUUGACAAUGUUGACUUUACAUUGUACUCAAAGAUUAUUACAAAUGGUUUCCAUCAUCAUCGUGUUCAUGUUACAUAAUUUGGUCAAGUGAUUUCAGCUUACAGGGGCCUCUUUAAUACUUAUUUCACAAACUCUUAGGACGAGUUUAACAGACGACAAACCAAUGAGGUAGUUCACAUCCUUGUUGGGUUGUCAAAUUAUCAACUAAUCUCACUAUUUAUUCGCAUGUAAUUCGUUGUAUAAGCACUCUUAUUAUUAAUUAAACUAGCGAGUUAACCCGUGCAAUGUAUGAGCGACAUAUGCUACUAUUUUUUAAUCUCCAAAAUUAUAUUCUUUUUUUUGUUUUUUUAUAUAUCACUAGCGAAAAGACAAGCACUCUCGUGCCCGUCUUUCCGCUCUUUUUAUUGCGUUAAUGUUUGAAAAUUAUGAACAAUAUUUUUUUAUGAAAUUUUGAUUUUGAUUAAAACUAUAUAUAUAUAUAUAUAUAUAUAUGUUUGUUGCUUUAAAAUUAUAACAAAUCAAACUAAUCAUGAUUAUCUAUUUCAUUGAAACCAACAAUAUAACAAAAAAAAUAUAAUCUAAACUCUUAUUUUUUUAAUGACACCAACAACGAUCUUUAUUAUAGAAAAAGUUAUUUGAGGGUAUAAUUGAAAUAGUAAAAAAGUAAGUAUAUAAAAAUACUCAUCUAGUUUGUUAGACAUUUUAAAAGAUAAAAGAAAAAAAUUAGACAUAUAUAUAUAUAUAUAUAUAUAUAUAUAUAUAUAUAUAUAUAUAUCGUGUUUCUUACACUUUUAUUUUAAUACAUGAAUUUGCUUUAAUCUAUUUGUUUUGUGUUAUUUGUAUUGAAAGUUAAGGGUAAUUUUGGAAAGAGAAAAAUUCAGCCUAAAAGAGUCUAAAUAUGCUAUUUUCUUUAUAUAUAGUAUAAAUUAACUAACAUUUUAUAAGUUAUAGCCGGCCCUAGUUUUCUAGUGAGAGAAACUCCAACUUCUCUCUAGACUUUCUUUCUCCUUCGUUCAUCGAGGAGGGGUGGUUUUAGGUCAUUUUUUGACCUAGAAUCACCCCUCUACAUCUUUUUUCCCCUUUUCUUUCAAUCUAAAUAAGUGGUUUUCACAUCUAUCAAGUUUUUCGUUUUGUGUUUUUUGUGAUUUCGUCGUCUAAGUGCGGCGUUUGAUUUCGCGUCUUGUCGCGGUGUUUGUUCAGUUCCUAUUGAAAGAUCUACAUCAAUCAAUUACAAAUUCAAGCAAUGAUUUGGAUGUCAACGUUGCAGAUCCGGAAGCAUGGGUAUUUCGGUGAUUUAGGUUUGAUCAUAUUAUUUGUAGGCAUUUUGCUGUUGUAUGCUAUUAACUUGGGUGCUGUGAGUUUGCUCGCAUAUUCACCCUUUACAUUUUUAGCGAUGUUUGUAUCUGAUGUACUCUAUCGAUUUGAAUGAAUGAAUAUCGUUUUGUUUUUGUAAAAUAAAAAGUGUUUUUUUUUUUUUUUUAUAUUUUUUAUUAGUGACAAAUAUUUGACCCAUACAUUUUUUAUGUAUUAAUGAUAAAUAUUUGUUCUAGUUUUCUAAAUUUAUAAUGACAAAUAUAUCUUAUGUGUUUAUCAUUGACAAAUAUUUGACACAUUUUUUUAUAUAUUUAUCAGUGGUAAAAACCUCAUAAAGAACCUAUGUUAAAUACUUGUUCCGUACUUUUUUAAUUGAUCAAUUACAAAUAUUAGUCCCAUGCUUUUUAAUAUUUUUUGUUCAAUUUUUUAAAAUAUUUAUCAAUUAAUUUAGGGUUAACAGGCCUUUACCCCCUACAAUGAUAGGCGAAUACUUGACCCUAGAGCUCUAAAAUGUGUUUUUGUUGGCUAUUCCUCCACUUAAAAAGGAUAGAAAUGUUACCAUCCUUCGUACAAACAAUUCUGUGUCUAGAGAUGUUACAUUUCAUGAAGAGGAAGCUUUUUUCAAACAACCUUAUCUUCAGGGAGAGAAUUUAAGAGAAGAUAAGGAAAUAAAUCAUGAAAUCCUUGCUCUUCCUAUCCUUGAGUUUGCUUGUAUCCUAAGGUUGACAUAACCUUAGAGAACCUUUCAAACCAUGCUCAGGGUGAUUGUUUCAAUCCAUAUAAUGCCUUUUUCAACCUGCAUAUAGAAUUGGCAGCAAGAUUUUUACAAUAUUCUGGCGGUACCUCCAUAUAGAUUUCCUCCUCUAGUUCCCCAUGCAGGAAAGCAUUUUUCACAUCAAAUUGCUGCAAUUCCCAACCAUAAAAGGAAUGGAAAUGCAAUAAUUGAAGCUUAUACUGAUGAUGACCAUGCGGGGUCAAUUACAGACAAGAGGUCCACUACUUGAUAUUGUACCUUUGUUGGAGGAAAUUUAGUAACUUGGAGGAGCAAAAAACCGAAAGUGGUGGCUUGCUCUAGUGUUGAAGCUGAGUUUUGAGUAUAACAUAAGGUAUUUGUGAACUACUUUGGCUGCAAAUUAUUUUAGAAGAUUUGAAGAUAAAAUUGGAUGGACCUAUGAAGUUCUAUUGUGAUAAUAAGUCAGCAAUCAACAUAGCUCAUAAUCCCGUUCAACAUGAUCGAACAAAACACGUUGAGGUGGAUAGGAAUUUUAUCAAAUAUUUUUAUAUUUAUUAGUGACAAAUAUUUAUUUCACGUUUUCGGAUAUAUUAGUGACAAACAUUUGUCCUAUGUUUGUUAUGUAUCAGUUAUUAAUAAAUGUCUUGUGUAUAUUUAUCAUUGAUAAGUAUGUGUCCCGUGUUUUUAUUUUAUUUUAUUUUUUAUAUUCUUCGAUCUUAAAGCAACGAUGAUAGAUCAAGACCUAGAGUGAUAAUUGGUGCCAUUUAACAAAGAGUUUGCAAGAACAUUCCCAAGAUUUUUAUUUGGAUGCAUGAAAUAUGGAUUUAAGGUAUCAUUCUGGUAACCUUUGUGAUGAUGAGAAUCGUGUCCUCCAUUGACACUUCCAGCAAUACUAUCCAUAGACAUGAUGAAUCAACGAAAGGGAUUCACAGAGAAAAGAAAGAAGAGAUAUUUUUACAUUCUUAUGACAUAACUAACUACACACUAACUAUGAUUAAGACUAGAGAUGACUAUAGUUAGGAUGUUACAACUAACUGUUAACUGCCUCAAUAACUUGCAGAGCAACUUACUUAGUGUUCACUAUGUUUUGUUGUUGACAAAAUUCUUAUUUGAUGUUUUAAAAAUUACAAACAUAUUAAAUUUAUUUCAUCUUGUUAUCUACUAACUUGUUCUGUGAUAAUUAUUUCAUGAGAAUGAUCACGACAACAUUCUGGUAUCAUAAGACAAACAAAGCAGUUACGUCAAAAGACAAAUCAGCAAAAAGGCAAAAUUUAGCUUUACAAGAAUAUUUAACUUUUGAAUUAUUAAUAUCAAGAUCAAGACAUUUAUAUGCCUUAUUAAAGGAAGACAUAUAAUGUUCUGUCGAAAAGAAAAAAAAAAGAUAUUUAAUCAUUGUUGAUUGGCAAAAUGAAGAAAGAAAUGUUUUGGGCCUUAAAGAAGAUUUUUUAUCCAUUAAGGAAAAGAAACAAGUCCAUUAAAGAAAAAUAUCUCAUAAAGGCUUUAAGCACAUGUGAAUUAAAUGUGACAUCAUCAAAAGGACAAAAGAAUGACAUAAGCAUGUCACUUCUGACAACUAUCAACAACUCAUUAUAGCCGGAUAACUCUCACGUGGAAGCAUAAAGUAAGCUGGACAUCCAUAACCUUCUGGAUGUGUAAAUUAACAUUCUAGUCGUGUUGAAGAAGAAAAGUGAAAUCAAUUGAAACUUUGGAUAUCUAUAAAAAUGUGCCCAACAACUCUAUUUUCAUAGUUUAUCACCAACACACUCCACAUCUAUAAAUACAUGAAGACAUGAAGAAUCAAAACAAGUGUUUUGAAAGCAAGCAUUCUCUCGAGUGAAAAUCAUCACUAUAUACAAACUCUUCACAAACAAACAAAUUCUAAGUUCUCUCAAUAUAUCAUUUGGAUGAUACUCAUUCAAAUUUGUUUAUUUAAAUCUCAAACAUGUGUUGAGAAUUUCAUUUGAUCCAAACCCACCUCAUCAUACAAAGUGUAUUGUGUUCUCAAGUCUAUUGCUAACAAUAUUUUGAGAAGAAUUGACAACCUUUCUUGUCCAGAAUUAAAAAAUUGUAGAAGCCUACUAAGGUUUAUUUUACAGGAUUUAACGAACUGAUCUGGUGUGAUCAAGAAUUUAUGGUGCUAGUCAUAAGUUUCUGUUAGCAUGAUACUAUAGUGGAUAAUCUUACACAAGGUGUGGGGACUGAAAGUAGCCGAGUUUGGUGAACUAUGAUAAAUCUCAGGUGUUAUUCUUCUUCCCUUUCUCUCUUUAAUACUUAAUAAUCUCUCCAAAAUAUUGUGGUCCUAAUUAAUCACAAUCAAAUUAAUCCAAUGUUUUCUGGUCCUAAAUUGUUUCAUUUAAUAUUAAUUAUACAGAUGCAUUCAGAACAUUCUGAUGCAAGAUAAAACAAUUACAUAAAUAACUAAAGACAAACUCACGUUUAAAAUCAAAUUAUAAUAUUAUUUUAUCAUUCUGUUUUAUUCUCCAGAACAUUCUGGUCCUUGUUAAAAUAGUUUUACAUUUCAGCUUAAUAUCAUUUUUCUCAUUCUUCUUAUAUAUUAAAUAUAUAAUCAUUUAAUCAAAAACAUUAUGGUCCUAGAUAAAAAAGAAUUGUUAUAUAUCAAACACUCUAAUCUAAUUAGACUAACAUUUACCAAGAACCUUCUCUACUAAACAAACUUAUUUAAGUUUCAGGAAUAAUUUUAAAAGGGUCACAAUUCACCUCCUCCUCUUGCGACGUUUCUUGCUACUUCAUGUUCAACAUAGGAUUUUAUAUCACAACCAAGCGACUUUUUCACACCCACACACCCAUUAGUUAUCUAGCUGUAAUAAAAGCAUGUAAUUGAAUGAAUUAAAUGAAAAAGGAGUUAGGGUUUCAAAUAACAACCAUAUAGAUUUAGGGGUGGCCCUGAGGGCAGGCAGGAGGGGCAGUAACCUAGGGCACCAUUUUUUAAGAGGCACCAAAAUUAUUAUUUUUACUUAGUAGUUAGUACUAUAUAGAUAUAUUUCUUUUUAAUUCGUUUUGAUUAAUUAUAUUAAAAAUAUAUUUUUAGAGAACUUUAAUUGUAAAUGAAUCUUUUGUAACAAAAACUGCAAGAAGGAAAAUAUUGAAAUAAAUAAAACAACACAAUUUUAUUGUUUCGUCCAUGACACCAAAAAUCUCAGAACCAGCCCUGAGAAAGACUAUAAUGUUGUGGGGCCGCAUCUUUUCUUUUCUUAACAUGAAUGUGAAGAAAGACGAGAGAUUAUAAAAUUUAGAUAUUUUCUACGCUGCCCUUCUCUCUCUUCAUGUUUGUCUUUUGCAAAAUAACAUCAUUGUAAAAAUUAAAUUUAGUAUCUUAUACUCCCUCCAUUCCUUUUCUUUUAAUGUUUUAGAACUUUAAAUAUAUUCCAAAACUUUUGAUGUUUUAGUGAAUUUAUUAUUGUUUUCUCAAGUUUACCCUUUUCUUCCGAAGCAUAAAGAAUAACCUUCAACCAAGACAUAAACUCAAAAAGAAAAUGUUUAAAUUAAUAAUAAUAUUGAUUUUUAUGUUUGUUUUUUAUUGAACACGUAGAAAAUUGGUUUUCAAACAAACAUAACGUUUGGGAGAGUAUGUAACACUUGAGUUCGAUUCUAGAAUUGUCUAUUUGGAAGGCAGCUCAAUCUUGUAUAAAAAUAUGUCUCACAUUCAACUUGAAAUUAAAUGUCAUAGCUUGGUUAAACUAGAGCCAUGGACAGAUAAAGAGACUAUGUGAUCAAAUGUGGCUAUUUUGAUACAAGUCAUUUUGCCUUUUAAAAAAGAAAAAAUGAAUAGAUUUAAAGCAAUUGGUUAACAAAUCCAAGUCACACCUCAUCAAGGAAGGAAAAGUCAGCAUUUACUUAGCAUUCACAUAUCAAGACUUUUUGUUUAUGUUAGGCAAUUGUCCUACCUCAGGAACAAAGAGAAGAGGCCAAAAAAUAAGGUUAAAUAAUGCAAAGUCUCUGAUUCGAAGUACUUUGACUCUUUUUGUGGAUUUUAGGGAUGUUUGGUGGGUAACCUACACCAUUCAAUCAUUCCCAUCAUAUAAUUAAAUGAAUCUCACUUAAUAAAAUCAAGAAUCAUAUCCUGUUCUUCAUCAAAAUCAUAUUCCAAACCAAAUGAGUGUAUGACAUACGCUACAUAAAUUAUAAUAGAGUCUUGUUAACCAUUGUUCGGACAAUGGUUAAGGAACUUAAAAGUAGUAUGUUUGCAUUGGUUUUAAUAACUUUUAACUUUUAAAAAGUUAAAUUUAUCAGUUUUUAUCAUUUUUCAAUACUAUAUUUAUAUUUUUAUCCUCCAAUACCUCAAGAGCAAUGAUUAGCAUUCUCAUCCGUAAUAAUAUGAUUUACAUUUAAGAAAUUCAAGCCACCUUAGUCAUUAUUAAUCAUAUCCUCGAUUUUGACUUGUAAUAGGAGCUAGAACAGCUAGCGCAACAAUAAAUUUUUUGACAAAUACAUGUCCAUCAACAAGGACAGACAAAAUAUUUAAUUUUGUAAGAAAAAAAACUCAUUCAUAAAAUUAUAAUCAUGUUAAUAUAUGCUCUACGAACACAUGUUAAGAAUUCAAUAAAUAAUAACCAUUUAGACACAUGCUCGGAAACCACAUCAAACCAUAAGACGAGGCAAUGAUAUGCAAAUCACAUUUGGAAUCCUUCAACAACCAUAUAGGUUUUUCACACAUUCGAAGACCGUUAACUCACCUCACAUAAAUACAGGUAAAUCACACUUAAAGGUUAGAGUGUUUACAGGUAGAUCAUCCUCCUCUGCGACUCAUCAAUUGUGUCAUCGAUUUGGUUUACCCUCAGCUUCUUUUUUAUUGAUUGAUUAUAACUUUUUAAUAUAUCAACGACUAUAAUUAUUUACAUUAUAUAUAUAUAUAUAUAUAUAUAUAUAUAUAUAUAUAUAUAUAUAUUUCAAAGUCUAAAUUAGUAAAUGUGCACUUUUUUAUUUGGACAAAAAAGUCAUUCACCUUUAUUAUUUAAAACUAUUACAUUGAGGGUUACUUUUGUAACUUUAUUAUAAAAUAAUGGCUAAAAUAUGGUUUUAGCCCAUGUAAAUAUGUCUCGUUUUAGUUUUAGUCCAUGUAAAAAAAAAUUGUUUUUGGUCCCUGCAAAAUUUUUUGUUUUUGAAAAUAGUUCCUCAGGGACUAUUUUCAAAAACAAAACAUUUUGCAGGGACCUUUUUAAAAAACAAAAAAUUUUGCAGGGACCAAAAACAAAAUUUUCUUUUUACAGGGACUAAAACCAAAACGAGACAUAUUUGCAGGGACUAAAACCAUAUUUUAACCUAAAAUAAUUGUUAACUUGCAUCACUUAGCUAAUUACUUAGAUCCACUUUUGUUAUGAACACAACAAUUACAAACAUUAAACAACUAAAAAAAAGACAAAAUAUUUGUGUUUUUAGUAAAGACAAAAUAUAGUUAACUUGCACCACUUAGCUAACUUAGACUCACUUUUAAUUUUUUUUUUAUUAAUUAAAUGCAAUUGAAAAAAAUAACCUUCUAUGAAAAACAAUUGGAAUAUGGGUAAUUGAAUUUUAUUUUUUUUUCAAAUAAAAAUGUGAGCACUACUAGAAAAAGCUAAGAUACCGACGAAAUUUAGAGACGGAAUUAGAGACGGAAAAAAUCAAUGAGAGAAGAAAAUAAGGUGUUUAAAAUUCAUUAUCUGGUAGAACAGGUCUCGUGCGGUUGUUUCAGCGGGGUUGAUUUAGUCCUCAAUCCGAAGCUUCAUUACACUUGAAGCUUCUUAGUCGUGUUGUGUAGAAAUUAAACCUUAAUAUUUUGACUCAAAGCUCGUCAUGUGUUACUAAUAUCUAUUUCUAUUAAGUAUAUAUUUGUAUAACUGUGCUACAAUCUAUCAAUGGAUAUAAUCUAUCCACCUGUUUAUUUUAUAAAGAUUAAUUAUAUGAUUGUUUUAAUACAAAUAAAGACCUUAAAAGUUAAAAAAGUUAUACUCCAUAUUUCAAUACUCAAAUUUCAUGGUUGUCCAAGUAAGUUGUAACAUAUACUCAAAUUUCAAAAUAACAAUUCGUUAUUCAACAAAUUUGAAAAUGAUGCAAUGAUAAUGACAUAUAAUCAUCUUAACAUCAAAAAUAUAGCACAUGUAGUUGGAAAAAAAAAAAAAAAAAAAACGCAUGUCAAAAGUGUGUACAUUUAAGAUCGAUAAGUCAUUGUAGGAGUAAACCUAGCCACUUGUUGUACAUACAAUAUGAUAUAGAUUUUGAGAAAUGUUAUUUGUACAACUAUUUUGUGACAACUUUCUCUUUCAUACUCACAUUAUAUUCUUACUCUUUCUCAUCCUUUUUCUCUCUCCAUUAUUUUUGACCAAUACCAAAAGAGAAAAAGAAGGUUGUCAUGAAAGUUGUAUCAAAUGGUUAGCUCGAAAGAUUUGUAUGUUACUUUACCACAUGAUUUUUUUUUCGAACAAGUCAAAAUGGAAUAUUAUAUCAUCAAAGAUGGUUCAUCUCGCAUAAGGUAUGCAAAAGAGAAACACCCACCAAAAAAUACAGCUAGAUGUCUGGUGCCAUAAAAGAGCACUCCUGAAGAAAAACAGAAUAAAACAAGGCUACAAUAAAACACCCAUACAAUGUAAAGGGUGCCGCCAACAGUCAUGGUAACUAAAAGCAUAAGUAGACUUGUUUGCCUUUAACCAAGAAAAAGACAUCAAUUUAAUAUUUUCCCAAUAAUUAAUUAUUACACCUCUCUUUAAAUAUAAUAUAUUCUUAAGUAGUUUUUUUGUCUUUGUUAUAUGACCAUUAAUUUGUAUAAUUUUAUCCCAAUUAAUUUAUAUUUUUAAUUAAAUUAAAGAUGCAUCUAGUAUAACUUCUGAAAAAUGGUUAAAGAGUUGAACAUCACGUCCUUAAGGAGCAUGAACAAACUUCUUAAAAAUGGUUAAAGAGUAUGAAUGUCAACAUGUAUCUAUCAACCAAUUUUUUAAUCAAACUAACCUGUUCCAUAUGAACAUAACCUCAGAUAUGGACCAGCUCCAUGCAUGAGUGUGAGUUAGCUUAAAACUUAUGUUAUAUCUAUCAUUCUUUCUAAUAAUUUUAUUGAAUGAAUUCUAUUUUGCCCGUGCAAAAAAAGAAGUAAAAAUGAACCUUCUAGGAGAGCAAGGAAAAAAUUACUGGUUAAUGGUGAUUUUGACUGGUUUCUUAACUAUGAAGUUAUGACCUUGCACCAACGUUAAGGACUAAGUAUUUGAUCUAUUAAAUUAGGGUUACGAAAGCUCUAGUUUUGCUAAAUUAUGAAAAUACUAGUUUUGUUUAUAAUAGUGAUCAGAGGUAUAUAUCAAGACAUGUAUAUUGAUUUUGCUAAAUACUACUAAAUUGGUGAAAUUGGAAUUCCUAAAGUUUAAUAUCCCUAUAUUAGACGAUCAUAUAUCAAGACAUGUAUAUUGAAUUUGCUAACUUUGAAAACAGCAUACAAACCAAUAUAUUAAAAUAAGAGCAGUGUCAACAUUUUCUGGCAAAUAAGCUAACUUAUUCUUUUGUUUACAUUUCAUUUCAAAUUCAUACCCAACUUGGGACGCAUUGGUCCAAAAAGCAUACUCACUAAUUCAAAGGCAAUCCAUUUUUUUAAUAAUAGCUGCAUGUAUCAUAAUACUUUUCACAUUUGUAAACUUAAUUUUCAAAGGCAACCAAGAUGAAUAGUUGAGGUAAAUUGGACAAAGAAAAAACCAUAUACAAAUACGUCUAUUCCUCUCCACCACCACCACCACCACCACCAUCUAAGCCAUACAAAUACGCUUCUCCACCACCACCAGUUUACAAAUACAAGUCCCCACCUCCACCCGUCUACUCACCACCACCACCACCAGUUUACAAGUACAAGUCCCCACCUCCACCACCAGUUUACAAGUACAAGUCCCCACCUCCACCCGUGUACUCACCACCACCACCACCAGUUUACAAGUACAAGUCCCCACGUCCACCCGUUUACUCACCACCUCCACCAGUUUACAACUACAAGUCCCCACCUCCACCCGUCUACUCACCACCUCCCCCGGUUUACACGUACAAGUCACCACCUCCUCCCGUCUAUUCACCACCUCCACCAGUUUACAAGUAUAAGUCUCCUCCUCCUCCUGCUUACUCACCACCUCCACCACAUUAUAUCUACUCUUCACCACCUCCUCCUCCUCCUCCUUACCACCACUAAAUGGUGGUUUACGAUAGUAUCCCACCGUAUACUUCUUCCUAUGUACAACCCACACAAAAUACAUAAUAUUUAAAAUAUUUUUAUAUAAUUCAAUUACAGUGCUUAUAAUAUUAAUCCGAUAAAUAUCUAGUUGGGCAUAGCUUCAAAUAAAAAAAUUUGGUAACACACAUAAAUGAUAAAAUUUACCAGAUAAAAAUUUAGUGACAUCAUAUCCUUUCUUUUUUAAAUUUUAUCAUUGAUGUGUGUGCGUUUAAAUAAAGUGUUGUUGCUUUUGGAAAUAGGUUUAAAUGCGAAACUACAUAUACCUUUUAAAGUUUUAAUUUAAAAAAUUGGAUUGUUAAAAUAUUAUCAUUGGCAAUUUGUAACAAAAAAAAUGAGACCUGAUGCAGAAGGUGAGUCAUGAGGUCAUCCACUAUACAAUAUGAUCACAUUAUGAUCUUAUUAAUUUUGUUUGAUUUAAAAUUUCAAGCGAUUAAUAAUCCUAAUAAACAGUUUUAGCUAGAUUAUAUAAUGUUUAAGGCAAAACCAUUUUCUUAAUGAAAGAUAUUGAUAUAUUUAUGUGUACAUAUACUUUGCAGGGUUUGAGGAAUAUAAUGGAAAUAAUAAAGAGAAGACAGUGCAAAGCAGGAAAGAUGCAUCAAUUCACAAUUAUAUAGCACAAUAAAAACAACAACCUAAGCAGUUUCCACGCACUCUGAUUCAGAAAAUGUCACUCCUUUUUUCUUCAUUUUAUUUAUGAGAUUAUUAUUCUCAUUAUUGUGCUUUGAUGUUUGAAUUUAUACUGUUGUAAAGCACUGUGUGUAAUAUUAUUCAAAUAAAUAGAGAACGAUUCUGAAAUUUGUCAUAUUGUAAAGAAUUGAAUAUAUACGGUGGCAGAGCCAAUAAUUUUAUCGAGUUUGAAUAAAAAAUUUACCGCAGAUUCACAUGCGACAUAAUAUAUAAAUAGUCAUAAAUCGAAAUAAAAUAGGCUCAUCAUUUUAUCGAUAAAAAUUACAAUUUAUUUGAAAUAAGAAAGAUGAAACAUAACCUGUCAAUAAUGUGCUAAAUAAAAUUAGAAGGUAAAUGCCCUUCCCGAGACCUCUUUGCGGUGAAUGUUCGAAUAAUAUCAACAACAUCAAGUGACUUGAAUUUCUCCCACUCGGUGUAACAUAUCAUCAAGUCAUUGAACCACACAAUGUUGAUCUUGUUGGUAACAAUUUUUUCUCACGGGCUUAUAAGAUUAUUUUACCAGCUUAUUGACAGGGCUUGAUAACUGAUGGACUUUCAACUUUUGUUGAUGUUUGUAAUAACUUUGGCGCACCCGCUAUUGUUGAAGAUCCACAAAUUAGAAGUUAAAAUCUGAUUCAUUAUGCUUUGAUGUAGAAAUGAUUGUAAGUUUUUUUGGGUAUGAAGUGAUUGUAUGUCUUUUUUUUUUGUCUAAUAAGCUAUUAUAAAUAGUGAUUCAAAUUUUGUUACCAUAAAUUAAAUGAGCAAUGGAGUAUAUGUAAAUUUUGAUUUAUGCGAGUAUUGAGUAUUUCCGUGAGUAUUGGUUUGGAUGAAUGGUAUAAUAGUUCAUAGUUAGGGAGAAUUAUUCUAAUUAAGCCACUUCAAGAAUUUAUUCUAAAAAUUGAUUAUUGUAAUCAAUUUUAAAUUCCAAUAAUAUUGAUUAUAAUAUUUUAUUAUAUUUAUUAAACUAAUUUUAGUAGUAAUUUUAUGAAUUAUUCCUUUUUAGAAUUUAUAGUAGAAUAGAAAAUAUAAAAUAAAAUAAAACAAUGAUAAGAUUUAGUGACAGCCGCAACCGCAGGUAUAGGUCCGUAAUGUUUUUAAAAUGGUCUACUUGGAAUUACAUACGUUUUGUCCGUAGGUAAAGGUGGAAAAUAUGCAGCGACAUCCAUUUGACAAUGACAGACGGAUUUAGCUACGGAAAUUUAUCCUAGAGUGACGGAUUUUUGUUGUCACUACAAGUUAAAUUUCUUGUAGCGAUACAAAGAAAGUAUCGGUUAAGCCCGGGCAUGUACCCAGACUAGAUGGGUUGUAAAACCGCUCCUGAAAAUAUACAGAAUACAUGCAUGAUUCAAAAACUAUCUAAUUUUUCUGGAAAAAAGGCUAAACUGCAGUUUUGACCUCCUAACUUUGUAAAUGUUGGGAUUUUGGCCCCCUUUUAAAAAAAUGAAAAUUUUCCUCCCCUAUGUUUUAGCCCCUUUGCAAAAGUGACCAUUUGGUCAAUUUUGACCGGGUCAACACGGAGGUGGCACUUCAUUAAUGGUGCGGGCACGCUACAUGUGUAUUUCGCAAAUUUUUUAAAUCAAAAUGCCACUUGUGUAUUUACUUGAAUUAAGAAAAAAAAAACUAUAUAAAGGUCUUGCACGUGUGAAGUCUUUCAGAUUCUAGGGUUAAAAAAUUUCCCAAAUAUUAACAUCAAUGAAAAACCACAAACCCCUAAGUUUCCAAAUCAAAUCUUCAUCCAUAAUCUCCUUCCCAAAUUGUUUCUGAAUUCGAAUAUCCUUCAUAAAUCGAUUGUCAGGUUUUUCUUCAUCUUUGUUUGUUGCGAAAAUGAAAUGGGUUGAAGAUGGAAAGGCGGCGACGAGUACAGGUUCGAAGAAGAAGAAGAAUAAAGAUGCGACAGGGAGUACAGGAACAAAGAAGAAGAAGAAGGAUGCGACAACGACUAAAGGUUCAGAGAAGACGAGAGAUUUGAAUAUGGAAGUUCAAUCAACUCAAGGAAACAUGUUCAAUGGAAAGAUUCCCGACAUGGAUGCUUCAUAGUAAGCGUUUUUUUGUUUUCAUAUGUCUAUUAACUAUAAAGUAAAGCUCAUGUUACAUUAUUUCUGAAUAAAAAAGGGUUGUUGGACCCAGAAACAGUUGAAGAUGAAUGGUUACAUGCCAUUUUUCGUUUUCCGAUCUGCAAACACACAAAACAAAUCGACCUGGAAGAAAGGAUGUAGAGGAAGAAUCGAUUUCAGAUAGGUAAUGUGAAGGAUGGUUGAAGAAGAUGAAGUUUCGAUUAUGGAGAAGAAUGGAUGAAGAAGAGCGAAUGAAGAAGAAAGGUUGAAGAAUUGGGGGUUUUUAAGGUUGGAGAUUUUUACCGUUGGAACUCUCACGUGCCAAUCCUUUAUCUAUUAUUUUUUUUAAUUCAAGUAAUACAUAGGUGGCAUUUUUAUUUUAAAAAAAAUGGCAAAAUACACAUGUGGCGUGCCAACACCAUUAAUGAAGUGCCACCUCCGUGUUGAUCUGGUCAAAAUUGACCAAAAUGUCACUUUUUCAAAGGGGCUAAAACACGGGGGGAGGGGGGGCAAAAUUUUGAUUUUUUUUUUAAUAGGGGGACAAAAUCGCAACAUUGACAAUGUUAGGGGGGACAAAAUCUGCUCCUUUCCGUCCCUUUGGUUUCGAUAAGAGUGGUUAAGUACCAUAUUGAGUGGUUUUAAUCGAGCGAUUAAGCCAUAUCUUUUAGGUGUAUAUACUCGAACAAUUACAUAUUGUGCAAUACGUGAUUGAAUAGUGAUAUGAGCUGUUUUAUUCUGGAGGCGACGCGGUUGUUAGUCUACAUUGCACAAACUUGGGUAGUGCCGCGAAACGUCUUAAAGAGAGCGACCUGGUCGUGACUCAACCUGAUAAUUUAUUCGGUACUAGUUUCUGAUUUGUAAUCUCAACAAAUAUCUCAUGAGCUAUAUUCUUCGGUAGUAGGCUUCAGUUUAUGUCCAACAAUAUAAAUAGGGGGAUUCGAAGAAUCCUAACCGUUGCUUACUUUUCUGUAACCAAAACAGGUAACUUGCUAUGUUGCAAACAGAUAAACAUUGCAAUCUCUAACCUUUAAACUCUUUUAUUUUAUAUCGUCACCUUAAAAUAAGUAACGUGAAUUGUUAGGACGAAAUGACAAUCCAUGUGGAUACGAUACUGUACUUAUCACUUUAUUACUUGGUAAACGAUUUGGUACACUUGCAUAAUCCGCACAUCAAUAAUCUUUGUUUGUUAGAAGUUUCUUGCUUGUAUGCUUGAGCAUUGAAAGUCUCUUGCUUGUGUGGCUGAGCAAUUGUAAUCUUGUAUGAUUAUAGUAAAAAAUCUCUUGUAAGUGACAAGGGUAUUAAACUACUUCGGGAUUGAUACCUUGAAACGCUUACCAGAAGGCCAUCGACAUAUAAAUAGACUUUACACAUCUUGUGCUCCAAUGUGUACCUUUAAUAUAAGUCAUUUUGCCUAUUAAAAAAGCAAAGAUGAAUUGAUUUAAAAGUUAACAAACCCAAGUCACACCUCAUCAAGGAACAAAAAGUCAGCAUUUACUUAGCAUUCAUAUAUCAAGACUUUUGGGUUAGGUUAGGCAAUUGUACCACAUCAGGAACAUUUAGAAGAGGCCAAAAAAUAAGGUUAAUUAAAUAAUGCAAAGGCUCUAAUUCGAACUACUUUGACUCUUUGUGUGGAUUUUAGGUAUGUUUGGUGGGUAACCUAUAUCAUUCAAUCAUUCCCAUCAUAUCAUAUAAUUAAAUAAAUCCCACUUAAUAAAAUUGAGAAUCAUGUUCAUGAUCAAGUUGGUGUAUGCUUAGAACAGUCUCAUGGUAUAAUUAAUUUGUCCCUACUGAACAAAAUCAUAAUUUAGAAACAUUCAUAAAUUAUAAAUAAUAAUACAAUCUUAGUCAUUUAUUAAUCAUAUCCUCAAUUUUGACCUGCAAUAGGAGCUAGCACACAGCUAGCGCAGAAAUAUAUUUUUUCCAAAUUCAUGUCUGUUACUUAUAGUUGUCAAAAAAAAAAAAAAUGUCUAUUACUUAUAGAGACAGAUCAAUUAUUUAUUUUUUACAAGGACAAAAUUCAUACUUAAAAUUAUAAGACUAAAAGUAUAUAAAAUACUUUAAUUAGAGUCUAUCAUUGACUAAGGUAAAGGUUAGAGUUUUUACAGGUAGAACAUUCCAUCAACUGUGGUUUACCCUCGACUUCUUUUUUAUUUAUUUAUUGAUUAUAACUUUUUAAUAUAAAAACAACCAUAUUUUUUAAAUACAAAUAACUAUAAUCAGUUUUCUUAUUUAUUUGCAGCUUAAUUCAGUUGGUUUGAAUAAUGCAUAAUAUAUGCAAGGUCCGUGGUUCAAAUCCCGGCCACCACAAAAAAAAAUGUAUUGUAAAAAAAAUGUAUAAUAUAUAUAUAUAGACACACACUAUAUCUUUUUCAACUUUUUUGGGCUGACUUUUUCUAUUUCUAAAAAUGUCUUCAAUUUUCAAUACAAAAACACAUGUAACAAAUAGAUAAGAACAAACGUAAAUAUUAAAAAAAUGUAACAAACUCGAUAUGAAUAUAUAUAUAUGUGUGUGUGUGUGUGUCUGGUUUUUUCCUUUAUCAUUUAAAAAGUGUAACAAAUAGAUGAGUAUAUUUAUACUUACUUUUUCAUUAUCUCAAUUAUAUCUUUAAACAAUUUUUUUUUCUAUAAUAAAGAUUGUUGUUUUUAUCAUUAAAAAAAAAUUAGAUUAUAUUUUUUUUGUUAUAUUGUUGGUGUCAUUGAAAUAGAUAAUCAUUGUUAGUUUGAUUUGUUAUAACUUAAAGCAACAAACAUUUAUGUUUUGUUAGAAUAAAAAUCAAAAUUUAUUAAAAAAAACAUGCGUUCAUAAAUUGCAAUAAAAAGAAGGGAAAUAGAUGAGUUUGAACAGACUUUUUCAUUACUUGUUUUAACCUUCAUUUAAAAUAUUUUAUUUACAAUUUUAUCAUUUAAUAAUAUUAUUUUAAAUUUUAAUCAAAAAAUUGAAUCCUAUUAAAAUAGGAAAUAUGCCACUACAAUAGAAACAAUAUUAUCAAUAUUAUAUAAGAAGAGGAUAGAUAUUUUGAGCUGAAUUUUUAUAAUUCCAAUUAUAUUCUUAAACAAAUUUUCUUAUAUUAAUGUUAUAUUGUUGGUGGUAUUAAAAAAUAGUAUUUAUGUUAUAUUUGUUAAAUUAUUAUUAUUAUUGAAAAAGAUAACAUGUUUUUCUGAGUUUAUACUUAUAAUUUUGUUACAUACUCUCGUUUCUUGUUUUUUUUUAUUAAAUAUAUAUAAACAACGGAAGUGACCCUUCCCGUAUAAGAUGUGUUAAGGAAGGUCAACUAGAGUUUGUACAAAGACAGCAAAGCCAAAAACAUAGGAGAACUGCCGCAAAACACGAAAGAUAUAAUAAAUAAGGGUUGUUUUUUCUUUCUUUAAAAAAAAAACAAAAAGAAAUAAGGGUAGUGUUAACUUGUGCUUUUAAGACACAAGUUAAGAAUUUAAAAAUGGAAUUAAAUCAUAAAUUAUGUCUUGAAAAGAUAAGAUUUUGAAUUUCUAGAAUAUUGAAUGCACAAUUUUCAACAAAAUAUUUCUAUUUUUAGUUUCUUAACUUGUGCCUUGAGUACAAAAAUUAACAUUUCCUUGCAAAUAAAUGCCCAAACAAAAUAAAUGUAAGUAUACUCUCGUUUCUAGUUUGUUUAAUAUCUAUUUCUAUCAAGUAUAUAUUUGUAUACUUUAUGCUACAAUCCAUCAAUGGAUAUCAUAUAUACAUUCACCUGUUUAUUUUAUAAAGAUUAUGGAACAAUUAUAAACACAAGGAAAAAGUAGAAAACAGCGAGAGAAAGAAAGAGAGAACACAAAAUAAUUUGUUUACCCAGUUCGGUUCAAAUUGACCUAGUCCGAGGCAGAGAGCAGCCCUCCGUUCCACUAUAAUGAUGAGUAACUUUACAAAAGAGAUAUCAAUGAGUUACAAGAAUAAGUCUCCAAACCUAAUUGUACCCAAAGUCUCAAUCUCUUCCCGUGAACAAGAGACUCAAUCCUAAUAGUGUUUCCCAAGGUGAAUCAACAACAACCCUAGUUUCUCCCGCUUAGAGAAAUCUCUCUAAAACCUUGGUUUGUUGUCUGUUUCUAAACCCUUGUUUUCAGCCCCUUCUAUCUCAAGGUUUACAUGUGAUACAAGGUUUAUAUUUAUAGUAAAAGUAAUCGCUAAAAAAUUGGAACAAAUCUCACGCUGAAAAGUACAUUUUAUUUUUAUGCAUCAGUGUAAAAUCGUACUACGAUUUUCCAAAUCGUAUUUCGAUUUUUCCAAAAUGGAAGUGCCAAAUCUGAUCCAAAAAUCGUACUACGAUUUUCCAAAUCAUGCUACAAAUUUGACAGCUUCCAGAUUUUAAUUUUGAGUCACUUUUACAACAAAGACCUUAAAGUUUGUGGUAUUAUAUACUUAAUAUAAUACUCCCAUGGCAACCUGAUUAGCUCCCUUGUUAUUAGAAAGUUACACGCAAUUUCAGGGUUUGGUUGUAUUAUAUCCUGUCCAGCUAAGUUGUAACAUACUCAAAUUUCCAAAUAAAAAUUCGUUAUUCAACAAAUUUGAAAAUGAUGCAGUGAUAAUGACAUAUAAUCAUCUAACACAUGUAAUCAUAUAACCAGUUUGGCUAGGUGAUACUUAUGGUAGUUGGACAAAAAAAAUAUCACAUGUCAAAUGUGUGUACAUUUAAGAUUGAUAAGUCAUUGAAUGAGAAACUUAGCCACUUGUUGUACAUACAAAUAUUUGUACAACUUUUAGAUAAUUUUCUAUUUUAUAUUCACAUUAUAUUUUUACUCUUUUUUUUUCUUUUUUUUCUUUAUUGUUUUUUAUCAAUAAAAAUAGAGAAAAUGAAAAUUAUCAAAAAUAUUGUAUCAAAUGGUUGUUCAAAUAUUAUUGCUCAAAAUAUACAAUAUGAUAUAAUUUUCCAGGAUCGAAAGAUCUAAAUAUGUUCCUUUCCCACAUAAUUAAUUAUUACACCUGUCUUUAAAUAUAAUAUCUUUUUUUUUUUUAAUUUUUAGUAGUUCUCAUGUCUUUGUUAUACGACCGUUAAUUUGUAUAAUUUUAUUUCCAUUAAUUUAUAUUUUUUUUAAUUAAAUCAAAGGUGCAUCUAAUAUACUUUUUUUUUAAGAGGCUAAAAUGAAAUACAUUACCAAAACAAGAUAUUUUUCCUAGCACAAGAUGUACAAAGGAAGAACAAUAGAGUCAAUAGAAUAUGUACAAUCAAGCAGAAAGAAAGCACCAGAGACCUAUAAGCAUGAAACAGAACUAAGUAGUGCCCAAAAUAACUAAUGGACUAAGCAACAAACCAUGAAAAUUAAACGAAAGAGAGACAAGUUUCGCCUUCAACCACGUAAAGGAAAGAACCUUAAUCUAAUAUAACUUCUUAAAAAUAGUUAAAGAGUUGAACAUUACCACCUUAAAGAGUAUGAACAAACUUUUUAAAUAUGGUUAAACAGGAUGAAUGUCACGUAUUUACAGUACAUAUAUCUUUGGUUUUUAUAUGUGUUUAGUCUCUGUAUAUGGGGUCAUUUAAAAAAUUAAUCAUUUAAAAUGGUCUCUACAUUCCUUCAUUAUGACAUUUUGCCCUCCCAAAAAUUAAUCAUUAAAAAUUUGGUCCCCCCUACUCAAUCACUGUCACGUCACUGGAUUAGCUGACGUGGUACAUUGACUCAGCAAAGUUUGAUGUGAAGUGACAAAAAUAGCCCUAACACUCUGUUUGGUAUGAGAGAAUUACAGCAGAGAGAGAUAUUGAAGAGAGAAAGAGAAGAGAAAUAUGGUAUUUCUCUUGUUUGGCAAAGGCAAGAAAGAGGGAGGAGAGAUAAGUUUUGCGUGGGAUCCACGUGUUUUUUGUUCGCCCCUAUAAACGAAGAAAGAAGAAAGAGGAGAGAAAUAUACAUUUACUCCCUUUGCCUUUUAUACCCUUCAAUUUAAGACACAACACACCUUUUUUUUUUCUCAUUACUUUGUUUUUAUUCUUAAUAGGCUUAUCUAAAAAUUAUUUCAAGGACAUUUGUACUUUAAAAAAAAAAAAAUUGAAGAAGCUAAACUAACCCCCUCAAAUUGGCACUAGAGAGAAUCGAACUUGAAACCUUGAGGAGGAGCACACUCCCAGGUCCCAAGCCAAUACCACUAGGCCAACCCAAGUGGGUUUGUACUUUUAAAAAUUAAUCACACUUCUCUCUCUUCUAUUUCUCUUAAUUUUAACCAAACAAUACCUUAAAUCUAUUCUAUUUUUCAUUUUUUUCUCUCUUCUCAUACUCUCUCUCACCUAUUUCUCUCUUCUCAAUUUCUUCUUUCAACCAAACACACCCUAAGUAAUUUCGCUGCCCUCUUAUGGAAGGAGGGGCAUUUACUUUACAAGUAAAUAAAGUAUCUUUUUUAAUUUAAAAUUUCCUCUUUAUGGUUUUCUUAACUAAUGUCCUGGGUAGGGCUAGACAAGGACCCGCGACCCGGCCCAACCCGAAAAAACCGAAGAAAAAAAACCGAGCUGAGUGGGUUAAAGCAGGUCCGCGGGUCAAACGUGUCAUAAAUGCGGGUUCACAAGGGUAUACAUGGGCAGAGGCGGGUAACGGACCUUCACCUGCGGGUACCCGAACCCGCCAGUAUUGGAUAAGUAAAAACGACGUCGUUUUGAAGAGUGGGGAGACCACUAACCCUAGAUCUAACCCAUUCAUUUCAUUUCUUCUAAAAAAUUCUCUCAUUCACCUCACACUCUUUCACCUUCCUCUUCAAACCCUAGUGCCGCCGCCGCAUCUAACCACCACCACCACACCAUCAAAUCCUCCUACCAACAUGAAUCACCACUUUCCAACUUGAUUCCCUUUGUUUUACGCCGUUCUCUGUCAAUCCACGCAGAAAAAUGGAGGCAGAUCCUGAAACUCUCUCUCACUCUCAGUAGCUAACACCACUGUAGAACCGUAAAUCGCCGUCGUUUUUGUUUCAUGAAUCACGUCUCUGCUCUGCAUAUGCUUCAGAUCUAAAGGUUAGAUAUUUUGUUUUUAAUCUUUGUAAUUUUUUAUUUUUAUUUAGGGUUUAUGAGUGUCUCACCACAUGCUUUUGUUUUUGUUUGAUGAUUCACAUCCAUGCUCCGCGUAUGCUUCAAAUCUGAAGGUUGGUUUUUGUUACAUUUUUCAUAUUUUGUGCUUUGAUUUUUUCAAUUCUUGCUUCUAACAUUUUUUUUUUGUUUCAAUCUCAUCUCUGCUGCUUAUGCAUUUGCUGAAGAUUUUUUUUUUGUUUCAAUCUCAUUUUCUCAGACCGGCUUAGGAAACUUCCAUAUCACUGAAUAUUUUUCCAGAUCCGAGAGGUAAUCUUCCUUCUUGACAUCUAGAUCUGAGAGGUAAUGAUUUAUCUUAAUAUAUUUAGUUUUGUAUUUGUUGAGUUUAUCUAUGUCUUUGAUGUAUAUUUUGUUGAGUUUAUGCAUGAUUAUUAAUGUCUAUAGCUUCUGACUUGAUUAUGUUUAUGCAUACUUUGUUGAUUCUUAUACUUCUUCCUUGGAGUUCAUUUUUUCUUUGUUUCUUUCUUAUCCUAAUGGUUUGUUGUUUAUCUAUUUAUUUUGUUUGUAGUAUUCUAAUGGUCCAUUAAUUAUCUUGUUUGUAUAGACACAUGAAAACUGAUACUGCUAGUGUGAAUCCUUUGGCUCAAAUUCCAAUUCUAGUGCAAGGCCAAGGACCUGAACAUGCUAAGGUAGUGCUAAAACUAAAGAAAAGAAAACCUGCUAGACCUCCUUCAAUGGUUUGGAGACAUUUUAUGAAGAAAAAAGACACUGCCUUUUGUAACUAUUGCUUCACUUCUUUUGUUUCAAAUGCUUCCAACCAUCGAACUAACAACAUGCUUAAACACAUGAUGAUUUGUCCAAAAACAUGAAGGUAGUUUUUUUAUUACUCUGAGUUAUGUUGAUUUAGUAAUUUUAUUGUAACUUUGUAUUUGAUUUAGUCUAUUUUAACUCUAUUUUGGUAGAUGUCUUUGAUGUUAGUUUGCUAGUGUUAUAUUUUGUGGCUUUGAUUUAUUAGUACUAAUGUAUAUUUUUUAUAUUGUUUUUCACAGGUUAACAAUAUUCUUACUUGCUAUGAUGGUAUCUCUUGAUCUAUUGUGAAUCAAGAUAUACCAAGGAGGUGUUAUUUUUUGUUAUUCAGAUCCAGUUUUAGUAUUAUUAUAUUCAAGACCACUAUAUUUAGUUUUUUAUUUAUUAAGGAUAUGUAAAUUGUUAAACUUAUUUUUAUUGGUUGUGUAAGUUAAAUUAAGGCUCGAUAUCAAAUGGGAAAAUGAGACAUCAUCAUCCCCCUUUAACAAGCUUCUUAAAGGAAAAAAUUUAACAAAAUUAUGACAAUAUGAUCUAAGUUAAAUAAACAUACAAAAUGGUUUAAUACAAGAGAAAAUGAAACACUACAAAAUUUGUUGGGGCAGAAAUUCUAAAUGGCACAUUAAAAAUGAACAUAAAAAAUGGUCCAUUACAGUGAAAUUAAAAAUAAAUCGCAACAAAAUUAAUUGGGCCAGAAAUGGUUGAAUGACCCAUUAAUUGGUCCAACCCGUUUGAACCCAACCGUUUAACCCGUAACCCGAUUCACCCGAACCCAACCAAUCCGACUCCAUUAUUUGGGUAGAAAUGGGUGUGUAUUCUACACCCGCAGGUUGGGCUGGAGUAGAGGUUUGGACCCGAACCCGCCCGAUGUCCACCCCUAGUCCCGGGGCACUGGUUAACAUAAACCUAAAACAAAAAUAGAAAAUAAUGACCUAAGUUUUCUAAUAAUUGAUAUUUUAUUAGCUUAAAACUUUUGUUAUAUCGAUCAUUCCUUUCCACUCUUUGUUCUUGGUUGUGUUUUAAUGAAAAAAAAGAAGUAAAAAUGAACCUUCUAUGAGAGCAAGGAAAAAAUUACUGGUUAAGCCUUAUGACCUUGCACCAACUCUAAGGACAUUAAUUAUGUUAUAUAGCAAGAUAUCCUCUCAUAAAUUGGUGAAAUUGGAAUUCCUAAAGUUUAGUUUCCCUAUAUUAGACGAUCAUAUAUCAAGACAUGGAUAUUAUUUUGCUAACUUUGAAAACAGCAUACAAACCAAAAUAGUACGUAUUAAAAUAAGAGCACCGUCAACAUUUUCUAGCUAAUAAGCUAACUUACUUUAUUCUUUUGUUUACAUUUCAUUUCAAAUUCAUGCCCAACUUGGGACGCAUUGGUCCAAAAAGCAUACUCAUUUAUUCAAUGGGAAAAACUUUUUUUAAUGGGUCUUGCUGACCAUUGCUCGAUGGCAAUGGUUAAGGAAGGCAAAAGUAGCAUGUUUGUAUUGAUUUCAACAACAUUUUGACUUUUAAAAAAUUAAAUUUAUCACUUUUCACCAUUUACCAAUGCUAUAUUUCUAUUUUUAUCCACUUAUCCAAUGCGCCAAACGCAAUGAUUAGCGUUCUCAUUUUUUAAUAAUAGCUGCAAUGUUACAUAAUCGUUUUCACAUCUGUAUACUUAGUUUGUCUUAAAAAGACAGUCACAUUGAAUAUUUAAUUAAAAUUUUAUUUUUAUUCAAUUAUACACUAUAAUUGAUAUUAAGCGCCAUUAAAAAAAUUAUUAAGUGGAUAACAAAUUAUUAUUCACUAUAAUUUUACUAUAAUUAUUAUUCUUCACUUUGAAUUACCAAGGUAAUUUAAUAAAAUUAAUAUUCUAUGUGACGUAUUUGUAAUUACUUCCUAAUUCACGUGAAAUGAUUUACUUUGCUAGUUAUUAGAAUUUUAAUUUAUUAUAAUAUUUUUCUUUUUGCUGUUGGAUAAUAGGUGAAUUAUAAAAUGUGUCAAAUCAUAGUACACCAACCAAGAUGAAUUGUUGAGGUAAAAUGGAUAAAGAAAAAACUAUAUAAAGGGUACUACUAUCUUUCAUAAGAGCAACAACAAAACACACUUUAGGAAAAUAUGAGGUUCCAAAUGGCCUCCAUUACUCUUACUAUUGCAUUCACGAUAAUCUCUCUUAGCCUGCCAUCCCAAAUUUCAGCAAACAAUUACGUCUAUUCAUCUCCACCACCACCAUCUAAGCCAUACAAAUACGCUUCCCCACCACCACCAGUUUACAAGUAUAAAUCACCACCCCCACCUGUCUACUCACCACCUCCACCUGUCUACUCACCACCACCACCAGUUUACAAGUACAAGUCACCCCCUCCACCUGUCUACUCACCACCUCCACCAGUUUACAAGUACAAGUCCCCACCUCCACCCGUCUACUCACCACCUCCCCCGGUUUAUAAGUACAAGUCACCACCUCCUCCCGUCUAUUCACCACCUCCACCAGUUUACAAGUAUAAGUCUCCUCCUCCUCCUGCAUACUCACCACCUCCACCACAUUAUAUCUACUCUUCACCACCUCCUCCUUACCACCACUAAAUGGUGGUUUACGAUAGUAUCCCACGGUAUACUUCUUAUUACAUACAACCCACACAAAAUACUUUUAUAUAAUUCAAUUACAGUGGUUAUAAUAUUAAUCUGAUAAAUAUCUAGUUAGACAUAGCUUCAAAUAAAAAAAUAUUUGGUAACACAUAUAAAUGAUAAAAUUUAGCAGAUAAAAAUUUAAUGAUAUCAUUUAAUAUCUUUUCUUCUUAAAAUUUUAUCAUUUAUGUGUGCACGCCCAAAUAAAGUGUCGUGGCUUUUGAAAAGUUUCUUAUAAACCUUGUGGAAAUAGGUUUAAAUGUGAAAUUACAUAUACUUUUUAAAGUUUUAAUUUAAAAAAUUCGAUUGUUCAAUCUUUUAAAAUAUUAUUAUUGGCAAUUUGAAACAAUAAAGUUGAGACCUGAUGCAGAAGGUGAGUGCAUGAGGUCAACCACUAUAGAUUAUGAUCAUAUUAUAGAACUUAGCUAGAAAAGAAAAAAUAUAGUUAUAUGCUUCUUAUUAAUUUUGUUUGAUUUAAAAUUUCAAGCGAUUAAUAAUCCUAAUAAACAGUUUUAGCUAGAUUGAAUAAUGUUUAAGGCAAAACCAUUUUCUUAAUGAAAGAUAUUGAUAUAUUUAUGUGUGCAUAUACUUUGCAGGGUUUGAGGAAUAUAAUUGAAAUAAAGAGAAGACAGUGCAAAGCAGGAAAGAUGUCACUCUGAUUCAGAAAAUGUCACUCUAUUAUUUUUCAUUUGUUUGUUUUAUGAGAUUAUAUUCUCAUUAUUGUGCUUGAUGUUUGAAUUUAUACUGUUGUAAAGCACUCUGUGUAAUAUUAUUCAAAUAAAUAGAGAACGAUUCUGAAAUUUGUCAUAUUGUAAAGAAUUGGAUAUACCUAAUAUUUGAAUGCAUUUUCGAUCCCUUAACUUUUAAAAAAUUGUGAUUUAUAGAAAUAUAGUCUUUUAACCCUUUAUUUUUAGUAAAAUAUGUUCUUUUGUCCCUCUAUCUUUAGGGAAAUAUGCUAUUUUGAUUUCUUAUUUUUACAAAAAGUAGUAAUUUUGCUUGCUGUUUUAGAACACGUGGUAUCUUCUCAACAGUUUUGCUGCAUUUUGUAAAUUAAAGGUAAAAUAAUUUUUUUUUUUAUUAGAGGAUCAAAAUCGCAACUUUUUAAAAGUUAAAUCAUCAAAAAUACAUUUAAGCCUAUACAUAAUACAUUAUAUGCAAACUUCAAAAACUAUCUAAUUUGAUGGCGGUAUAUGUCAAUCACUUUAUAUCCUAAUCAUCCUCUAUUUCAUGUUGGAUCUGUCUAACUUUUUGAUGAUAUGGAUAGUGGGUCCAAUCAAGGUGAUUCAAUAUCCAACGGAAACGUCUAAACACGUUUUGACUUCCAACAUAAGGCAUUGCCCCUAACUUCGGUUAACAAUAUUGGGUUUCAGUAAUAACAAAGAGACGGCUAGAGUUGUUUAAUAAUAUUUUAAUAGCAUUACGUUACAAAAGGUUAUUGGAGAAUGUAUAUAUAAAAUCUAAUAAACAACUAAAUUAGUAAUAUAAAUAUCCAAUAGUUUAAACUCAAUCCUUUAUUAUCUAAUUUCUUUUCUCAAAUUCACGACUCAUCAACAAGAAGAAUUAUGAGUUUGUCAAAUCAAAUAGGAGGACGAACGAAGCGGAAGCUGGUGGGCAUGUAACGUCUGAGGCUAACGAGGAUUGAGAGUGGUCGCUGGUGCACAAGUUAAGAGGAUGAGCUGCUCCUGACAUCUUCUAGUCAAACCGAAUCACAUUGGAAUGAGAGGAAUCCUGAGACCGUGCAGAUAUGAACUGCAUGAUUGAAGAAAGACUUAUAAAUUUUUUUGGCACUAUCUAUAUCAACAAGAUGCAUCUUCUUUUUUAUAAUUCAUUCCAUAAGAACUCCACAGUUAAGCAUGUUUGACAUGGAGCAAUUUUAGGAUGGAUGACCUUUUAGAAAGUUUUCCAGAAAACGUGUGAGUUUGGACAAAACACACUGAAAAGACUCAUGUUGGUUUUGGGGUCAGUCGGUCAGCAAUACUUAAAAUCGCCUCAAUAUUAUAAGAAACAUAAUAAAUAAUAUAAAGUUCUAACACUGCCCCUCAAAUGAAAGAUGGAAUGAUAUUGAAGUGAAAACUCGCGCUAUAUUGAGUGAAAUUUUAUAAACUUUCAGUCUUUAUUUCUGUCAAUGUUAGUUUUUUUGGUCAUCUAACUCAAAUUUGAAAAUUUUCCUGUUAUCUUGAACAGUUUCUAGUUCACUUUGUUAAGUUACUACAACUAAUAAAAAUACACUGAAUUUUCAAUCUAGAGACAUAAUUCAGUUUAUUUUGAUGAGUAGCAAAUUUUUAUUCUUUUUGAAAUCAUAAAAUCCUGAUCCUUCACUUUUACUCAAAUUAUAUAUGUCCGUUGUCUUAAGAUAGAUGGACAUUUAUAUGAAAGUCUUGGUUUGAUUCAAGUUGAGUAAAAUAUGGUCAAAUUUGGGGAUUAAAAAUACAUAGUAUUUAUAUUUUGCUUAUGUCAUAUAAGCUGCUAUGAUCUAUUUCCUCUCACUUUUAUAGGUCUUGGUGUUGAAUAAGAAACUAAGAUUUUAAAUUGUAGUUGAUUCGCGGAAUGAGCAAAGUGAUCCUAGUGAGCUAGUUUCAAAGGGUUGUGAACUACAAAGUUUGAUGGGCGAACCAGAGGUGAGGUCAAAGAAAGGAAUUGAAGAGGGUUUCAUGGAAGAAGCAAGUGAACAUUCGAUAGGCAAACAACAUUUCUCCUAGCCAAGUAAGGCGGUGUUAGUGACCCUUUGUGUUGUGAAUUCGAUGAAAAAUCACACCAAUAACAACUUGAUGUGUGGAGCAAGGGAUAAUUAAGCAACCAAAAUCAAAGCGUAUGAAAGUUAUAAAUACAAGCCAAAAGUAGAAAACAACGGCGAGAAGAACACAAAGAAGAAGAAGAACACAAAGAAACUUGUUGACCCAGUUCGGUCCAAUCUGACCUAGUCUGGGGGAGAGAGCAGCCCUCCAAUCCACUAUAUGAUGAGUUUCGUUACAAAGAGAAAUCAAUGGGUUACAAGAAUAAGUCUCCCGAUUAAUUCUACUCAAAGUCCCAAUCUCUUCCCGUAACCAAGAGACUCCAAUCCUAAUAGUGUUUCCCAAGGUGAAUCAACCCACAAACCCUAGUGUUUGCUCCUAAGAGACAAACUCUAUACAAACCCUAGUUUUGUUGUUGCUUUUCUAAACCCUUGUUUCAGCCCCCUCUAUCUCAAAGUUUGCUUUGAUACAAGGUCUAUAUUUAUAGUAAAAGUAUAACUCAUAAAUUUGGAACAAAUACCACACUGAAGAUUCGUUUUUUUUUUCUCCUUCAGUGAAAGAAUAUUUGCAUCAAAAAUAUAAUAUUCCCUUUCAAAAUAUAUUUGCAUCAAAUCGUUCUUCAUACGAUACAAAAAUAUAUUUAUUGUCCAUAAAUAUAUUUUCAGCACAAUAUAUAUUUGAAACAAAUCUUUUAUAUUUUUAGCAACAAUAUUCUCCAUCCAUCAAUUUUUGAGUCAUACUACAACACUUUGGAUGAGCUCGCUUUUCCCUCCACCUGAAGAAACUUAAGAUCGCUAGACGAGCAAAUUUUUCUAGGAAAAUAUGCACUUUUUUUACUUAUAUAUAAAUAGAUGUAAUACACAAUUCAGAGAUAUCUUACGCAUCUUAAACUUGUUGUUAGAGAGAACGGAGAGGAGAACAUAGAUUCAUCAUUGCAGAAUUUAUCAAUUCUUUUAUUUCAGGCUCUAGGUGCUUGUUUCAAACCAUAUAAGGCUUUGCUCAAUCUGAACACUCUAUCUUUCGUCCCUUUGAUUGUGAAACUAGGUGGUUGAGUGACAUACACAGUCUCUUCUAAUGUACCAUUCAGAAAUGCAAACUUUACUAGUUGCUAAUACUAUAACCAAUCUGAUAGUUUCAUGUCUUGCAUCUGGUGAGAAAACUUUAGUGUAAUCAAAACCUUCCUUCUAAAUAAACCUCUAGCCAAAAGCCUUGCUUCGUGAUUCACAAUCUUCCCUUCUUGAUUAAAUUUUAACUUGAAAACCAAUUUUAUAUCUAUUGCCUUUUUUCCAUCUCGAAGCUUUAUCAGUUCACAAGUCUGACUCUUCUCAAUAGAUUUUAGUUCACCUAUCAUAGCUUCCUUUAAUGCCUUAUCACAUAGUGCAGCUAUGUAAUCUAAUGGCUCGAUGUCUGCUAGCAUUGCAAAAUGCACCAAUUAACCAUCACUAGUUCAUCAUCACCAGUUACCUGACAGUCUUCUGAACUUCUUGGAAUUUGUCUGUUUCUUUGUGGUCUGGCUAUAGUGGUUGACUCUUCAUCUAUGAUUUCUUCAUCAUUAGCAACUUCAUUUAUGGUGAGCUCAUCAGAUUCUCUAUUAUCUUCAAUGAUAACCUCCUUCUCAGAGACACUGCACUUAUUUGCAGUACAAUCCCAAUAUUCAUCUAUUUAAGAUGAAUAUUGGGAUUACACUAAAGUUUUCAGGGAUAUGCUUAUAGCAUAUUGAGCCAAAUACCUUCAAAUGACUGACAUAUGGUUUUCUACCUGACCAAACCUCUUCAGGCACUUGAUUCUUCAAUUUCUUAGUGGGACAUCUAUUUAAGAUGUAAGCUGCAAUAUUCCCUACUUUACCCCAAAAUUCAUGAGGUAGCUUCUUCUCUAUCAGCAUAAUCCUAGCCAUAUCAAGUAAACUCUUAUUCCUCCUUUCAGCAAUACCAUUGCGUUGAGGAGUGUAAGGAGUUGUCACUUCAUGAACUAUACCCUGACUUGUGCAGUAAGAUUCAAAAUAUCUAGAAGUAUAUUCACCACCUCCAUCUGUUCUGAGAAUAUUCACCACCUUCAAAUCUUACAAAGAAUAUGAGAUGGUAGAAUUAUGAGAAUUUUCUCCAUGAUUGCUUUAUCAGAAAGAGUCUCACAACAUAGCUUCAUCUGAUUUGUGAUUGUUUGAAUUGAUUAGAAAUAUUCCUCUAUGUUCUUUUCUUUCUUCAUCUUCAGCAAUUCAUAUUGUCUUCUCAAUGAUUGCAAUCUUAUCUUCUUCACCUUAUCAUCCCCACUGAAGUAUUUCACAAGUGUAUCCCAAGCUUCCUUAAAGCUUUUUGCAUAUGCAAUCUUUUCAAAUACCUUGUUAUCCACGCAUUGAUGAAUAUAAAAGAGAGUCUUGAAAUCUUUCUUGUUCUUGGCUUCUUUAUGCGCAUUCCUUUGAAUUUAUGUGGGAUUUGCAGGAAGUGCUUCAACUUCAUUGUUGACAAUCUCAAGAACAUCUUGAAACCCAAAGAUCACCUUCAUCUGUUUCACCCAUCUUUGCCAAUUCUUCCCAUCAAGAACUGGUAAAUGUGCAGAGAUGUUUCCAUUGGAAUUCAUGGUUAACUCUCUUCUUCUUGGAUCAAAAAAUGAUUAUGCUCUGGAUACCAAUUUGUUGGUGAACAAAUUGAUCUAGGGUUUAUGUGUUUUGUGUGAUUGAAGGAUAAGAAACAGUUUUAGAGAAUGAAAAAGAGAGAAAGAGAUUGGAGAAUUAAAACUGAAUGCAUUGGCUUUAUUAAAUGAGGAACCAAGUAUAUAUACAACAUGUUCUAGCUAUAGCUUGCAUUACAAGUAAAUGCUAAUUGUCUAACUAACUUUCUAAAAACAAGGUAAAGUAGUUACUUAGGUAGCAAGGUAACUAACCCUAAAUCAAACUAUGAGUUUUGAAUUACAAAUUCAACACUCACAAGGGCAUGGUGGCGGAAACUCUAACCCUAGGAGAGCAAGAAAUUUCUUGAGAGGUUUUGAUUUUGUCUAAAAAAAUUUAUAUAAUCUCUUGGAUGUUGAACUCUAGGACGUUACAUAUCUUAUUUACCGAAACCAUUUGAUUAUGAUAUGUGCCAAAAAUAUUUAUAACCAAAUGCAAUAAAGUAAAUACAAAAUAUACAAUAAAUUACACUAGAAAAUAUUCAAUAAAUUACACUACAAGUUAAUAAUAAUGUUAAUUUGCAGACACUAAUAUACGUUUUGUUCCGUUCUGCUUAAUUUGCUCUAUCCAAGAAAAUAAUGAAGUUGAGAUAUAUUCAUAUGAGUGUCUGAUGUGUUGGUCUAUGGUUAUUUAGAUUUUAGACUAUUUUGCAAAGCAUAAGAAAUAAAUAAAAACAAACUAAAAGUCUGAUAUUAUAAAAAUCUGGUUUUUAAAAAAGGCUAAAAGUAUAUUAUUUUAUAAUUUUAUGUUUUAAAGUGUUGGUUGUAAAUACCAAAGUAAGAAAAAACUCAUAAACAUCACAUACAAACCCGCAUAUUUAAACCGCAUAACCUACGAUUAAGCAAUCCACCUUAUGUGAACCAAAACGAAAAUGGUGUGAAACAUAUUGGUCUUUAUCCACCUUGGGCCGCGAGUUAAACUAGUUGGUUUGCAGCCCCGGGCCAUAUUCACAACUCCUAUUUUUGUAUAGUUUUUAUUUGAAACAUUAGAAAAUUAAGCGUCAAACCAACAUAAUAUUGAGAGAGUUGGUAACAUGACUCUUCCUCAUAAAAAAAAAAAAAAUUGAAUUUCAUUCUUAAAAUCGUCUAUUUGAAAUUGAGCGAACUUAACCCGUUCAAAGAUCAUAUGUCUUCCUAUCAAGCUAGGAAGGUACCUUGAAAUGUUGUUAAUUAUAAUUAUGAUUAAGAUAUGCUAGAAGAAAAAAUUGAGGGCCAAGGGCAAACUGGCUCAUUUAAUAGAUAAAUAGACUUUAAAGCAAUUGGUAUACAAAUCCAAGUCACACCUCAGCAAGGAAGUUAAAGUCAGCCUUUAAUUGUUAGCAUUCACAUAUAUAGUAAAGACUUUUGGUUUAAAUUAGGCAAUUGUACCACAUCAAGAACAUUUAGAAGAUGCCAAAAAAUAAGACUAAAUAAUACAAAGGCUUUGAUGAUUCGAACUAUUUUGACUCUUUGUGUAGAUUUUAGGUAUGUUUGGUGGGUAACGUACAACAUUCAAUCAUUCCCAUCAAAUAAUUAAAUGAAUCUCACACUUAAUAUAAAUUUAAGAAUCAUAUCUUGUUCAUGAUCAUAUACAAUCUAUAGUGGUGUAUGCCUAUAAUAGUGUCAUGGUAGGUAUCAUAUUAGCUUUGUCGCUACUGAAGUAAAAUAAUUGUUUGACCUAAAAUAUUACCACUGUCGCUCUGUAAAAAAUAUAAUAUAGAAACAAUAUUCUUGUGAGGUGAGGAUUACCCCCACUUAUAAAUACAUUGUCAGGUCAUGUUCUAUCUGAUAUGGGACGCUUAACAUCUUAGAAAUCGUGGUUUGGGCCUAACACAACAUCACAAAACGGACUUGUGAGGUGAUGAUUGCCCCCACUUAUAAACAUAUUGUCAGACCAUAUCUUAUCCGAUGUGGGACUCUUACGUACACAAAAUUAGCAUAUUACAUAGGCUACAUAAUUUUUUAAUACAUGUAAAAUUAGCAUAUUGCAUACAUCUAGAACUAUGUUUACAUUUCAACAACGUUUAUUUAUUUUCUUACUGCAAGUGACGGAAACAGAAAAAAAAAAAAAAAAAAAAAGUUUAAGUAUAGGAUGCUCUAUUGCGGAUGGUCUUAGUCUUCCCAAGAAUCAUCAUAUUUUUUAUAAUAUCUCCACCAAGUAUGUCUUUAUAUACUUGUGUUAGUACAAUCAAUCAAUGUCGUAAUUUUUUUUUUUCUAACAGUCGACAUUGUCUAUCCAUUUAAAUAUUUUUUUUCAAUACCAAAAAAAAAAAUGAUCUUUCCUAAAAAAGACCUUAAAUUUUUUUUAGAGAAAAUAGCUUAUAGCUUUUCAUUAUUAAUCAAUGUCAAAAUACUAAGAGGUACAUCAUUAAAAACUUGGGAACUAGGUAAGAAUAAAGCCUCUCUAGCAAGAGUAUGAGCGACCUCAUUCGCUUGUCUCCAACUAAACUCCAUCUUAAAGUUUUCAGAAACAUUGUUGUUGCCUUUGGUAAAAUAAUCUACAACUAACUUCGCAUCCAUCUCAAAAUCUACAUUUGUAAGUUGUAGUUCGUGUACCCAUUGAAUUGCAUAGAGUAGACCUAAUACUUCCCCAAUCUCUGGCUUACAUAUGGGAUUAGACCACAUCAUCUUUGCCUUCCUGAAAUUACCAGCAGCAUCCCGUAUACACAGCCCAACACUACUAAAAAAAACAAAAAUUAGUGAGGGAUAUUUAGUGAGGGAAAAUAUGAAAUCCCUCUCUAAUUCCCUCACUAAAUUUUACGACCAAGGAAUUUGUGAGGAAUUUCAUUUUUUCCGUCACUAAUUUCCCUCACUAAUUUUGCUUUUUCUAGCAGUGCAAAACCAACACGAUUUGAAUCUUCCGAAAACGCCGCGUCGAUGUUGCAUUUUAGCUUACCAGCUGCACUACACUUCUGCUUCCUCAUAUUUCCUCAUAGUCUGGCAUGUAAACAAUGUGUUGCUUAAUAUAACAAUUUUCUAUAUAUGGCUGCCAGAUUUGCUCCCCUGGUGAUUAGACAGUAAACAAUAAAAAACGUUACACGCAAUUUCAUGGUUGGUUCAAUAUUUUGUUGUCCAGCUAAGUUAUAACAUAGUUUCAAAAAAGACAAUUUGUUAUUCAAAUUUGAAAAUGAUGCAAUGAUAAAGACAUUUUAUCACCUUAUCAUUAAAAAAACACGUGUAAUAAUCACUUAAACACAUGGACAAAUAAAAUCACGUAAGCAAUCUUGAUAUUAAUUAACGAAGGUUGACUCAGUUUAUAAGAAAUUGAUUCAUCUGUACGCCAUAGAUUCAACAUUUAUUGUCAAUGUAAAUAUCUUUUUUGUAAAUGAUAUGUAAAUACUUCUAUAAACAUUAUUUAAAUCUUGAAAUAUGCCUUAACUAUAAUGAAUUUUUGGAGGGUAACCUAUCAAAAUUUAUUUAUAUAAUAAAUAAAAGGUAAAUAUUUUGGCUAGGAAAAACCAAUGGUAGGAAAAAAAAUUACAUGUUGUGAUGUCAUGGAAGUCGAUGUAUGAGUAAACCUAGCUACUUGCUGGAAAUGAAAUAUGUUAAAGAUCUUACACACUGAAAGGAUCAAAUAUAUGUUCCUUUCGCACGAAUAGUUCUCUCUCUUUCUUUUUUCUUAAAUCAUAGCCGUCACAACUUUUAUUCUUUUUGGUGUACAAAAAGAAUUGAUUUAGGAUCAAUUACGAUCCAUAAUCACCCCUUUAAAUUGUUAUUCUUUCUCUUUUAGCAAAGUAAGUGAUUUUCACAUAAUUUUCUUUCCUUUGUUUUUGUGAUUUUGUCGUAUAACACGAUUUUGUUUAUUUUGAUUUCUCGUAUUUAUGCAGUGUUUUUAAUUGUUAGCUUUCACAUAUAGCAAAAACUUUUGAUUUAAGUUAGGCAAUUGUACUACAUCAAGAACAUUUAGAAGAUGCCAAAAAAUAAGACUACACUAUGCAAAGGCUCUGAUUGGAACUAUCUUGACUCUUUGUCUGGAUUUUAGGCAUGUUUGGUGGGUAACCUACACCAUUCAAUCAUUCCCAUCACAUGAUUAUUAAAUGAAUCCCACUUACUAAAAUUGAGAAUCAUAUUAGCUUUGUCGAUACUGAAGUGAAAUAAUUGUUUGACCUCAAAAAAUAACAUCCGUGUAUAAAAGGAUAACAGAGAAACAUUCAUACACAAAAUUAGCAUAUUACUUUCACUAAAAAAAUUUUAGGCUUAAUACAUGCUUUCGUCCCUUAACUUAUUUUUGAAUUUCAUUUUGGUCCCUUAACUUUAAACCGUCUCAAUUUGUUCUCAUAACUUUGCCUCCGUUUACAGAAGGGACCACUUAGGUAAACGGAGGCAAAGUUAUGGGACCAAAUUGAGACGGUUUAAAGUUAAGGGACCAAAAUGAAAUUAAAAAAUAAGUUAAGGGACCAAAGCAUGUAUUAAGCCUUAAAUAAAUUAUACUAAGAGGAUAUUUGUCAAAGAUACAUAUUUUUAUUGAAGAAAAAAAUAAUAUUACAAAGCAUGAAAAAAGCCCAAUAAAUAAAAUGGUUGAACAGUGUUGGGAAAAAUAUUGCAAGAUAAAAUAAUAAAUAUAUUACAACAUCAACAAAACUCGUAAAAUAGUGUGAGAAUAUAGGAAAUUUUUCCAUGACAAUAUAGGAGGUGAACAAAAUAAAUUAUGUUAAAAUUAAAUUAGAAAGUAAUGAAAACUUUGGUAAAAUAAAAAGUAAUAAAAACAAGCAAAUCUCUAAAAAAAAGUAAUAAAAACAAACAAAUCCCUAAAAAAAACAUAUAAAAUAUUUGGACUAUAAAAUUAAAGUAGAUAUGAAUUAUUUGUUGAGAUGUUUAUGUCAAAUAGAAAAAUGAGUUUUCUAAAAAUAAAACAUAAAUGUUAAUUUCAUUGGAACACCAACAAAAUAAAAAUUCAUAGGGAGGUAGUUCUAUUGCAUCAAAUAGAUCUAUUAUGAGAUAAAAAUAAAUGAACAUCAUAAUAUUAUUUUUAGUAAAUGUAAAUUAAUGUAUCACUCAUUUUUUAUAGAUUAGAAAAAUGAUUUUGACAUUCUAUAAUUUAGAGAUUAUUUUUUAAAGACUUUAUUAAAAAGUAUAAUCAAUUUUGUGUUUAUUUUUCAGAAUAACAAUCACUUCUUUGAAAAAAAAUAUAUGUUAAUUUGAUACAAGGCUUAAUAAAUGCUUUGGUCCCUUAUUUUUGAAUUUCAUUUUGGUCCCUUAACUUUAAACCGUCUCAAUUUGGUCCCAUAACUUUACCUCAGUUUACCUAAGUGGUCCAUUCUGUUAGUUUUUUUAACAGAAGGGACCACUUAGGUAAACGGAGGUAAAAUUAUGGGACCAAAUUGAGACAGUUUAAAGUUAAAGGACCAAAAUGAAAUUCAAAAAUAAGUUAAGGGACUAAAGCAUGUAUUAAGCCAAAAAUUUAUUACGUGUUCUGGAUCGAUCAAAAGAUCAAUCCCAUGUUGACACGUGACCUAAAUUUGCACUGCCUUAAAGCUCCGCGCUUGAAGGAGCAUGCCAAUUUUAGUACACCGCGUCACGUUCAAGCACGCCUCGGCGUGAGGUCACCUUACACGUGUUCUCUAACUGUCUCCUGAUCACAUGCUGCAAAACUCGAAGACAUCUCCACGAGUGCGUGUAUAAGGGUGACUUAACUUCACCCUCAAAGUAUGAUUCACUUUUCACAACACUUUCUACAUACUCUUUCAAAGGAAUAAAAAAAACAUUUGUUACAACUAUUUUUAUUUAAAGAAUCAUAGGUGCGGGAUGAAAUAUUAAAAAGUUAUAAUCACUUAAUAAAAUAGAAAUCGAUCCUCACUGAACCGACGUGGACCACGAUUGAUGACCAUAUAUAGUUGAUGAAACCCAGAGAUGGGGGGUGGUUGUCUCCGCCACUGAUAUAGUAACAAAAUAAAGGUUUAAUUGCACUUUUGGCCCCCUAUGUUUCAAGAAGUUGCGAUUUUGACCCCCUAACUAAUUAAAAUACAAAACAUCAUUGAGCUCAGCCACCUCCCAUCUCUGGGCUUCAUCAACUAUACAUGGUCAUCAAUCUUGAUCCACGUCGGUUCAGCGAGGAUCGAUUUCUAUUUUAUUAAGUGAUUAUAACUUUUUAAUAUUUCAUCCCGCACCUAUGAUUCUUUAAAUAAAAAUAGUUGUAACAAAUGUUUUUUUUAUUCCUAAAUUCAAACCUCUGAACUAACGUACACUAAUCUUUUCCCUCAUGAACAAAUAGUACAAUAAUCCUCAAGAAGAAGCUUCUUAGUCUUCCUAAGGCGUGUUGUAGAAAUUAAAUUAACAAUAAUAUUUUCACUCAAAGCUCGUCAUGUUUUUUAUAAUAUCUCCAUCAAGUAUGUAUUUAUAUACUUAUGUCAGUACAAUCAAAUUCGGUCCUCGUGAGCAUAGCUCAGUUGAUAUGGACAAUGCAUAAUAUAUGUAAGGUUUGAAGUUUAAAUUCCGACAACCACAAAAAAAAGAGUACAAUCAAACUCGAAUCUGACAUCUCAUAAUUGUGAUUGCGUGUAUGUAAAUUUAAAAGGUGGUGAUAUUUGUGAGAUCUUUAUUUUUCUUUCUUUUUAUUGGUUUAAAACAAUAAAGAAAAAAAUGAAGAGAAAGAAUAAGAAUAUAAUGCGAAUAUAAAAGAAAAUUGUUGAAAAAUUGUUACAAAAUAAAUGUUAAAAUAUCAUUUCUUAAAUCUAAAACGUUGCUCGUCACUUUUUCUACAUGUCAAAGUUGAAUCUUGUGAAGAAGUGAUUGUCCCAAAAAUAAUAUUUUAUUAGCAACAGUACUAGCAUCAAAUAUUUGUCAACAAAAAUAAAGUACUAGCAUCAAAUAAACUAACGUGCUACAUAUGAACAUAACCUCAAAUAUUGACUAGCUCCAUGCAUAUACUUUUCCCACGUUAAAAAAAAAGCCUAAUCAAAUUUCUAAUAACAAUUCUAAAAUUACUAUACACUCUUUCCAUAGACAUCAUUAUUGAUGAUUGUGGACAUGACCCCACAAUAUUAAUUUUGGUACAUGCAUAUAGCUCGAGAUACAUUUUUAAGAGAAAUAUAAUUUGUAUGAUAAUUUCACGACAAUUUUUAUGAUAAUUUUUUUUUUCUCACACUCAUGUUGUAUUUUUGUUCUCUCAUUUCAUAUUUCUUUGUCUAUUGCUUUUUUCCUAAAAAAAGAAAAAAAAUGAUUCUCCCAAAAAUACUUGUACAAAUAUCCACUCUUAGAAAAAGUAAAAUUAGGAAGAGAAAUUAGUGACGGAAAACAUUAAAUUUCUCACAAAUUCUUAAAUCGUAAAAUUUAGUGACGGAAUUAGUGAGGGAUUUCACGUUUUCCCUCUUAAAAUUUUCCUCACCGUUUUUUACUUUUAGUAGUGAUCAUUGAUAAAUUUUUAAUUCAUCUAUUGAGGAGGAACUAAAUAACCAUUUGUGUAAAUCUUUUCUUUUUUUAUAUCUAACAGGGUGAUUUAUAAGAAGAAGAGUCUGAACAUUUCGAUGAAGAAAAUCUAUAGAAAAGAAUUAAUUUAGUUAAAAGUGAGCCAACUUGGUUUUACUCCAAAAAAAUAUUCUUUAAAAUUUUUGCUCAUUCAAAAUCUAAAAUUGUUGUUUUCAAACGUAUAAUUUAGCAACUGAUUAUUAAGCAUUAGGAAAAAGCCCAUGCGACAGUAAAAAAUUGGACGCUAACAUGUCAAUUAGCGUCAACCUAGUGUGAGGCUCGUGGUUGACAAUAAAAUGCUUGAAGCUAACCAUUUGUGUCUGCAAUCCUGAAGCAAUUUGUAAGUAAUAUCGUAGACCAAUUUAAAUUUUUUAAGCUAAGCAUUAGCGUCUGCAAUAUCGAGGCUACAUCGCGUGCGCUUAGUGUAGGUCAAUUUAAAUUUUUAAAAUUCUGUAAAAGCAUUGACUAAAGGGGUUGGCCAACAAAAUAAAACAUAUUAGAAAUAAUUAACAAUCCAUUAAAGAUAGAAAAAAAAGUAAAAUAUAUAUACAAAGCAAAGCACAUAUUUGAGACAAGCAUCAAAUGUAAUAAAAAAAAUGCUACUAUGUUAUUUAUCCCAAAAAUAAAAUUAAAACAUCUUACAAUCAUGUGCAACAAACUUCUUUCUAUUGCAAUGGAGUCAACAUGUGUUAAACCAAAUAAACCAAAUAUUUAGAUGAUCUCCUAAAUAUUUUCUCUACAUCUAAGAAAAGAAUGUUCCAAAAUCUUGGCUAUAUUAAAGUUGAUAGGGUGGAAAUAUAAAUCUUGUUCAUUUUCGUUUUGGUUUUAAGCACAUCCUCUUUGUUUGAUUUCAACCUACUCAAACAAGCACAAUAAGCUUCAACAUUGUCAAUAAAGAAAGCACACACAAUUACAAAAUAUGUCAUAUAUUAGUCUACAAGAUAUGAUGAUUUUUUUUCGAUGUUGACCAAGCUAAUUACAUUUUAAUAAAAAUAAUUCUAUCAAUGAAAUUAUUAUGACAUCUCUCUUUAUCAACCUAAAAAAGUUUUUCAAAGCAAAGCAGAGGGAGUUCUUCCUACUCAUGUCGAUUAAUCAAGUCAAAAAGCUAAAAAAAAAAAAAAAAAACCAUUACUACAAUAAAGGAGAUUUCACCUCGGUUGAAAUGAAGUUUUCACAUUGCACCGUUCAUGAGGUAAGGUGGUGUGGUAUGUCUAACACUAUUUACAUCGGGCACAUCAGGUUGGUACCCAAUGUGAUAAGUACUUUUCACAUCGUUUUAUCACCGGAUGUGAAAUCCCUUUUAUAAAUUAGAACAUGUGAUUUACAUUUCACAUUAACUUUCACCUCAAGUGAUGUGAAAUCCAUUUUUCUAAAUGGUACAUUUUUAACCAACUUAAAAUGUCUAAUUUUUUAUAACAAAUAUAUAUUUUUAACCGACUUAAAAUAUAAAUUCAUGUGCUCUAUGAAACUGACACUCACUAAAUUGAAUUAAACAACUCCAACAUUGAUACGACAAUCAUCACUAGCAUUUAACUCCACAACCUCAAAUUUAUAGAUCAGAGGGCCUAUAAUACAUGGUAGUUACAAAUUAUCAACAAUUGGACGAGAUUAAAUAUAUACAAUAUUGUUUAAAAUAUAUGAAUUCAAAGUCAUAGUAGCAUAAAAAAUAAGAAGGGGUUAAAUUGGAAGGGUAUUGACUACAAAUUAACAAAUCAGAAAAUCAAUUUGAAAAGAGUAAGAAUACUAAUUUACUUAACACAAAAAAAUAGAUCCAAAGCAUAUUAUGAUGACUAUUGACUAUAAUCCCCAUUACAUAAGAAAUACCCAACAAAUAUCAAAAAGAGAGAUCUAACUUUCUAUCUCCAUUUUGAUUAUAAUGAGUUCACAAACAAAAUUCCCUAAGAAACAAUAGAGACCAUCAGAAAUCAUAAGCAAAAUGUUCUAAAAGAUAACAAACUCUAAAAGCUAAAGAAUAAAAACAUAAAAUUGCAACUAAUAGAGAAAAGAAACGAUUUAAUUCAUAAGAGAAGAGAACAAAGGAGUUGAAAAUAUAAAAUAAAGAUAUUGAUUCAAGAACAAAGACGAUUUUACCUCUGAACAACUUGAACAAAGCAACAAACAACGAAGGGCAAGAACAUAGACAAUUUUGGGUAUGAAAGGUUUGUAUCUGAGUGAAGCAGCGAAUGGUUUGCCUCUGAACGGUGAAACAACGAAGCUCUAAACAUGGAGGACGACUUGGCUCAUAAUGAGUCUAAUUUUUUUAUUUUUUCUGGAUCUGAGUUUUUUUUUCCCAGAACUUUAUGGCUUUGAAGGUUUUUUAAUGAAAGUGUGAAAAGAAAAUAUUGGGAAAAAAAAGGUGAGGGAAAUCUUAAAAUAAAAGUAGGAAAGAAAAGGGAAAUUGAAAAAUAAUGGAUAAUUUUUUUUUUAGCUUCACAGAUAAUCGAUGCUAUUUAAAAAUAAAAUAAAUAGUUUUAGAAUAUAUUGACGCUAAUUAAAUAAUUAAAUUAAAAUAUAAUGAAUUGAAGAAAGCGUUAGAAUUUGUGGAUGCUAAUUAGACGCUGUUAGCAUCAGAAAUUGUCUCACGCUAAAAUUUAUGAAGCUAGAUUGCAAUUUUUUUGUAAUAUGUGAAAGGGUACCAUAGAAGUUCCCUUUUUAUUAUCUUUGGUGGAAACUCCCAACAAAUUUGAAAUAAUGUUACCCGAGAGGGAUACAUAGAACCUGUAAAAAUUUGCUUUUGGACGCAUUCACCACAUGUCCCGAAGCCUCGGAAUAAGAGUCAAAUAUUCUCAUAAGGCAGCAUACAUUCUUAUUUGGUACGUUUACAAAAAAAAUUAGAAUAUCGUCUGUGCAUAUGUUGGCCAGCUUGCCGAGCAAGAGUAAUCGAACGACUAAGAACCUCUUUUGCCAAACAAAAAUAAAAGAGGGGAUAGAAGGUCCCCCUGACGAACACCCCGCCCGCACACAAGAGAAGAAGCCCAUCGCUUUACCAUUCACCAGAAUAAAAAGACGCGCAGAGUGCAAAAUAUAGAAGAAAACCUGCAGGAGAAAGCCAGGCUAAAACCAAACUGAUGGAGCACAGCUAGCAAGAAAUUCCAAUCUAAAGUAUCAAAUGCCUUUCUGAUAUCAAGCUUGAGCGCUAAAUUACCCCCAUAUUGAUUACGAUUCAGAAGGUUAAUAGCCUCAGAAGCUAUAGUAAUACAUUCUGAAAUGUAUCGAUCACGAAUAAAGCCACGCUACUCCAAUCAGAUUAGGUAGAAGCUCUCCAAGUCUCCCCUAUUAUAUAAAUCCUUAACCUACUUAUUUUCUCUUAUUUCCAAAUCUGCCCUCCAAGUCUCAAUAUUCUAUUCUAAUAUAUUUCUAUAACAUAUAAGAAAUAUAUCUCUAUAACAAAUAUAUUUCUAUAACACAUAUAUUUCUACACCAAAUAAGAAAUAUAUUUCUACACCAGAUAACAUAUAUAUUUCUACACCAAAUAACAAAUAUUUUACACCAGAUAACAUAUAUAUUUUUACACCAAAUAACAUAUAUAUUUCUACACACCAGAUAACAUAUAUAUUUCUAUACCAAAUAACAUAUAUAUUAUACUAAUAAAUACCAACAUAUAACAUAACAAAAUAUCACUCAUCAAAAUAAAUCGACUAAAUUAUAAAAAGACAUCUAAACUCAAUAAAAUAAAUAAAUAAUAAAAUAGGACGUUACAGGAUCUGGGUUUUAUUUUUUUCUUUUCAGAACUUUAUGCUUUUGAAGGGUUUUUAAUGAAAGUGUGAAAAGAAAAUAUUGGAAAAAAAAAAAGGUGAGGGAAAUCUUAAAAUAAAAGUGGGAAAGAAAAGGGAAAUUGAAAAAUAAUGGAUAAUUUUUUUUUUAGCUUCACAGAUAAUCGAUGCUAUUUAAAAAUAAAAUAAAUAGUUUUAGAAUAUAUUGACGCUAAUUAAAUAAUUAAAUUAAAAUAUAAUGAAUUGAAGAAAGCGUUAGAAUUUGUGGAUGCUAAUUAGACGCUGUUAGCAUCAGAAAUUGUCUCACGCUAAAAUUUCUGAAGCUAGAUUGCAAUUUUCUUGUAGUGAUAUGUGAAAGGGUAAUGGUAUUUUUAUUACCUUUGGUGUAAGCUAGAUAUCCUCCGCAUGCAAUUGGAAAAACUAAUUCCUCAAACCUUCUGAGAAUCAAAUGAACGGAAAACUCUCCAUUAAAGACAAUGAUAUUUGAACAAUCAUAUACCUUCAAUACAUUGAUAUGAUAUUGAGUAGCCCAUUUUAGCAAGUAAGUUGUAAUAUAAUUAUAAUAAUAGUAAUAGCAGAAGACAAAAAUAAUGAUUUUAAUUGUGAUAAAUUAGUUGCAUUAUGUGUUAGAAAUGAUAAAAUUGAUAAAAUACUAAUUCUUGAUAAUUUAUCAAUAUAAAAUUCUAAAUUUUUAUUUUAUCGUGCAAAACAAUAGACUAUUAAAAGGUUAGAUUAACUCUAAUAUUUAGAUUUCUUAAUUUAUUUAUUAGUGGAUAAAACAGAAAAAUGUUCUGAAAAUUAUUGAGGCAGCUGUGUGAGAAAACAUAUGAUACAUGUAUAAUUUUUCAAAGUUUGUUAAGGAGAAAGGACAGAUUAAUUUGAUCAAAUACCCAAUAAUUAAUUCAUCAAUGACUACGCGUAUAUUGAAUUUUACUUACUUUGAAAUAGCUUACAAAACAAAAAUAACAAAAUAAUUUUUUUGAAAGAGAUAUAAUAAAAUAAUUAUUGGUCCAUACUUACUAUAAAGAAAAUAAGAGCAGUGUCAACAUUUUCCAGCUAAUAUGCUCACUUACUUUAUUCCUUUCUUUACAUUUCUUUCAUGAAUAGCCAACUUGAUUCGAAUUGGUCCAAAAAACAUGCUCACUUAUUCAAAGGCAGGCCAUUAUUUUUUAAUGAAAUUAUAUGCUUGUAUUUUGAUAUAAACUUUUUUUAUAAACAUUCUGCUAAAGAAAACUAGGUAAAUUGUAAUAAGGACACCAACCAAGAUGAAUAGUUAAGGUAAAAUGUGUAAAGAAAAAACUAUAUAAAGGGUGAUGCUAUCUUUCAUAAUAGCAACAACAAAACACACUUUGGGAAAAUAUGGGGUCUCAAAUGGCCUCUAUUACUCUCACUAUUGCAUUGGCAAUAAUCUCUCUUAGCUUCCCAUCUCAAAUUUCAGCAAACAAUUACAUCUAUUCAUCUCCACCACCACCAAAGCCUUACUACUACCACUCUCCACCACCACCAGUGCACUCCCCACCUCCUCCUUACCAUUACAGUUCACCACCACCGCCACCAAAGAAGGAAUACAAAUACCCUUCUCCUCCACCACCAGUAUACAAGUACAAAUCACCUCCUCCACCGGUAUAUAAGUAUCAAUCUCCCCCACCACCAGUUUACAAGUACAAGUCACCUCCUCCCCCAGUUUACAAGUACAAAUCUCCACCCCCACCACCCAAGAAACCAUACAAGUAUUCAUCACCACCACCACCAGUUUACAAGUAUAAGUCUCCUCCUCCACCUGUUUACUCACCACCUCCACCAGUUUACAAGUAUAAAUCUCCUCCUCCACCAGUUUACUCACCACCUCCACCAUACAAGUAUUCAUCUCCACCACCUCCUCCGUACAAGUACUCAUCAC
This 47879-nucleotide long non-coding RNA is filed under the name Medicago truncatula (barrel medic). RNAcentral describes it as "long non-coding RNA (MTRU_LNC004005)". Lineage: Eukaryota; Viridiplantae; Streptophyta; Magnoliopsida; Fabales; Fabaceae. The record is from RNAcentral.